GAAGCUGAAGAGGAAGAUGAGGCCAACGCCGAUGGAAUUCAUGGUGGACCCAGAUGAUCAAGGCUCAGCCAUGGAAGUCGACGACGUUGACCCACUCGAGAUGUUCGGCGAAGGCGGCAUCUCCAUCGACAACAAGCUCGCCGACGCCGAUUUCUUCAACAACUUCGAAGACGAUUUCGAUGACUCCGACAUCAACUAAACGCCUCAACCCAAAGUUCUCAUCUUUUUCUCUCUUCCCUUUCUAGGGUUUCGUCUUUUUUCUUAAUAAAAAUCUUAAUGCUUGUUCGAUUCAGUCGAAUUUGAACUGCUUUAUGGCUUAUCUCAUCUGCAAAUUAUAUUAUUGUAGUUUUUGAACGUUUAGCUUUGGUUAAUUGGUAAGGAAUAAAAAGGUGUUUCCAUUCUGGAGUUGAAUUUAGUGUUGAAAUGAAGCGAGAAAUUGAAAGAAAAUUUCAACAGCCUCUGAAUCAGAGAAUUCGUUACAACAAAGGUGCAAAUCUAGUAACUAAAUUAUAUUCCCCAAAUCUGUUUAUGUCUAUAAACAUGCCAUCAAACUCAUAACAUUUCCAACCAUUUCCAUUUAAAAAUGUAGAUACAACACUGUCAUUCUUAUCGUCAUUCGACUUGUUCAAGUUAUGGCCAAUUAUCCACCAUGUAAAGAAGGAAACAACAAAGACAGGAUCGUGUUUGUGUUAUGGCCCAGGCUUAUGCUUCAAGCCGUGGCUCCCGAGCUCGAGGAUUGACUUUUCUGUGUUUGUGUUAUGGUCGAGACAAUUCUAAGCUGUGGCUUCUGGAUUCGUGGAUUGACUAUUGUUGUAGUGUUUGUGUUAUGGGUAGGCUGACAAGUUCUUUUCUAUUGCAGGCUUGCUUUAAUAUGUUAAGAGAAGCUACCAACAUUGCAGCAAGCAAUUCCACCAUGUUAAUGUCUAUUCACAGAAAAAUUAAUUGUUCAAAAGAUUCCAUGACAAAGAAAAAGAAGCCAAAGUAAUUCCACCAUGUUAAUGUCUGUCCACCGAAAAAUUAAUUGUUCAAAAGAUUCCAUGACAAAGAAAAAGAAGCUAAACAACUUACUAACCAAACCUUUAUUUUACGGGAAAAAAUGCUUCAAUUAUACUAUACACCCUGAUCCAGGUGGCCAUACAACAGUUGCAUGAUAUAACAAAAGCACAAUGAGCCACAGAUAACUCAUACAAUCAAAGUUGACGACGACUCCUGAAAUCAAAUCUAGUUAUGUUUCUUCACACCUUAUACAACAAUACCAUACUUCAUUGACAAUUCUAACAAGAAAUUAGGAAGGGCUCACUGUUUCUUAUAUAUUGUCUUGUACCAGAACUCUGAUAUUCCUUCGAUGUAAAUUUCUUUCCUUGGCCGACGGUUCUCACACCAUGGAAAAUCAUCAUUCAGAAAUUAGCAUUUAAUAAAAGUAGACAGCAUGCGAUGGAAACUAGCAUUUAAGAAUUGGAAACCGGGAUAAUCUUUCGAUUUCCUUGAUAAUUAGUUCCUUUUCCUCUUCAAAUUGCUCAUCUUCGGCACAUGCGAUGACAAUUAUUUCUUAAAAGACAAGCACAAGGACAACUAAGAAAAUGGUUUCAAAUGGAAAAAACCCAACUAUAUAUCUGGUGCCAAUUUUUCAGAAAAUGUAUGGCCAAAAGAUUUAAGUACCUUUUCCUGAGAGAUUUUGAAGCAGAUCCAGCAAUUUUUCAUGGUUUUUUGCCAGAAUAAUCUUUACUUCUCUUGGCUUGUUAGGAUUAGCAACAAAAACCUUCAUGCGAAUAGCAAAGGAAGGAAAACAAUAGAUUAGAACAAUUCUUGCAAUAUCUGAAGUAAGCUUUCUUUCCCUGUUAUCUAGGUGAUAUCAUUUAAGUAAUUUGCAUCCAACAGUCCCAAGUAAUUUUUUAAGACAAAGAGAGCGAACUGGCUUUGGAAAUGCAACAGAAGAAAUACUCCAAAGUAUAAUGUUCCGCAGGCUAAAUUUCAGUCUCAAUGGGUGAUCUUGAACAUUAAUAUCUGAAGAUCUUUUGGACAGGACAUCUUAUGACAUUUAGUAUGACAUAUUUUAGGGUUCAUUGAAGCAGGAGAAAGAGAUAGAGACAUUGGGAACUUUCAUAGGCGAGCUUCCAAUUCAUGAAUAUCAUCACUCAUCAUUUCUUGUCUAAUUAUUAACUUAGAACAUUGCCCUGAGGCUUUUUUACAAAGAUGUAUUCUUAAAACCCCAUGACAGAACAUGUGCUUGCCUGUGGACUGUGGAUAGGCCUGUGCUGGGACUAGCAAAAACGAUGUGUUUAUUUGAGAGUGAGAGAGAAGGAGAGGGAAAAACCACUUUGAAAAUGUGGAAAGCAGAAAUCUGCAUGUUUUUACUUGAAUCCUGCUUUGACACAAAAAGAGCGGAAAGUAAAAAGUCAAAUCAUAUAACAGACAAUUUCAAACAAGUUCUUCUCGAUAGCUACAGGUUAAGAUAUUUAAUGUACCAAGGAAGCAGACUGGGAUAAUCUUAUCAGACAUAAAAGUAAAAACAGAGAGCUCAUAUGAUUUCACUAGGUCCAAUCUAUUCCAAGUUGAAUACCCAAAAGUAUAUCAAUAAGUUGAAGCAGUUUCCAUAAAACAAAAAUGCCAUUCCGCACUCAUGGCUUUCACUCUUGCAUCACUCAUUUUCCAUGUCUCUUCAGGCCCAAUAAUGGACGGUCGAAGAUGCAAGAGUGUAUGAUGGUUGAAUGUAAAUCAGAACUCAUUUCAAUAAGACAUCCGGACUGCCAAUGGAGAUUCAAUCCAAUUAACGCCAAAAGAAACAUAAAGGAGAAAAAAGUACAGUUAAUAAGAAGUACCUCCAGCAAUGUCAUCAUAACUUUCAAAUACCGAACUUCUAAAAUAUAGCACUUCAUUAUAUGGGAAUUUGGAGUCUCCAAAAGAAAUUGCGACAGAAGCUAAACCAAAAACAUUGCAGCAUUAACACAUCUUACCAAUCAACAUAUCUACAGAUCCAAACAGGAUGGAAAAGAGAGAAAGUGCCGAAACCAACCUUUAAAGAUUGCCAUCUUGUCACGUAAUUAGAAGACAUCAAGAGUUUUUCAUAUAGAUCAAAGAACAGGAACAACAUUAUCUCAUUAGAUAAGCUAAAAGAGAGAAAAUGGAAAAUGGAUAUCUCAACAAACUUAUGAAGAAAGAUAUUUUCAGAGCUCUGCACCAUGCAGAUUCAUCAGGGGUAGUUGCACUUGAUGUCCCUUACCAAAAGGGUACACACAAUAUAAAACAUUCUUGAAGAAAGUUUUUAGCUCAGCAGGUCUUCUAGUUGAAGCAUUCAAUCAACAUAAAGCCCUAAAGCAAAAUUGUUCUCAGCCUAGAUCAUUUCUGUCACGUAAGAAGGAUUAAACAGUAUGUAAAUGUACCUCAUCGUAAUGAGCAGUCAAUUAUUCAGAUAACAAUGUUCCAUGUUUUGUAAGCAGAUCCAGAGGAAAUUCAAUCAAAGACGCAUAAGAGGAAGAAAGCAUGGACCCUGAAAAUGCAUGUACUUAAUCUAAAGUACCGUAAGACUUAAAAACUAAUACAUCUAACCUUAAAUGUUGAAAAUGCAUCAGAAGCAACGUCAAAGUUGGGCAACUCCACAAAUUUGAAGAAUAACACAAAGCUAGCAGACUUUAAUAUGUAUCUGAAAAAUCACUACAAAAUUUAACUGGUGAAAAAGUGAAACUUGAUUUUCAAUAAAGAAAUUUUGCACCAAACAUUAAAUUUAAAACAAAGAAAGUGCCCUAGCAGCCAAUUUUUCCUCCUUUGAUUUACUUGGACUAGUUCAUAGACACCAACCGGUUAUAGCUUUUGACAUCUAAUAAAAGCAGCAAUCGGCACUUCUAAAAUAGGUAAUGAUCAUUACCAAUCUCUAAACUGCACCAGUUCCUGAAUUACCCAGCAUCCAAGUUUUACUCAAAACCUUCAUAAUAUGUUUUACACUUGAUCUUUUAAAGCAGGCCAGAAUAUUAAAAAGAAGUUUAUCCUCACAAACCUAAUUUUGUAGUUAACAACAUCAGAAGAUAUUGAAGUGGUGAUUAAUCAGUCUACUAAAAACCGGAGUUGUAUCUGAAUGCUGAGCUGAAAGCAACAUAUUUCAUGCUGCAGCAUGUUCUGCUUAUUCACCACCUCACCUCAUGAAAGCCUAGUGUAUAAACCUUAGUAGACGCUAACACGUAAAACCAUAUUUGGAAAAGAGCAUACAAAUGAGGAUGAUGAUUCCAAUCAAGGUUACAUGCAAAGCUUGCCACAAAUUAGAUGAUAUAGAAUAUAAUAAAAAAUUUAGAGAACUUAUGUACUGAAAGAAUUAUAUUUCCUCUUCUGAAAUCUUAUACAAUCAUCAUUUAGGAAGAAGCAAUGACAAUGUUUUCAACCAUAGCAUCACUUUAGCAACAUCAUUAAGUACUUCAGUCAUAUGAACGAAAUGGACAUAAAGCUCGAAUGUCUUACUGUGCAAGUGUUGGAAAUUUGAAGCACUCCCUCAACAUAUUUCCACAAUUUAAAGCAAUUUCCUUGUUAUAAUAGCUGCUUGCAAAAGAUAGAAAUUACACACCUAACCUUAGUGAUUCAAUAGCACACAUGACUUUGUCCAUGUUAUUUCAGUAUGCAUACAGGUCAAUGCCAUCCUAUAGAAAUAAACAACACACUCUGAACACAACAAAUAGGAAGGAGAGAGAAAGAGUCACAUUAAACCAGCUUUAUGCAUAUUCGAUAAGCAUGUAAUAGACAACAAAUUAUAGAGAUUUCUAGUUGAAAAGAAAGGGGCAUGGACAUAGAUAAAUGUGAAAAUGACAUUCAUAACAUUACCAAACCACAAGAAAGUCAAAUAACUCCAAAUGCUUCUCAAUGUACUCCACACAGCAACAGGUGGAAUCAACUUUUUGCUCAACAAUAUGGACCAAAGGUGUAAUAAAUCUUUUCUUGCCUGUAAAAACAUAAAAUAAAUAGGCAAGCUUAUUAAAUAACCAGAUAUGACCAAAAUAGUAAAAAUAUCAAGAACUUGCUUCCCAUCCCAGUAUGGGCAACUUGUGACUAAUGAGAGAAAUAACAUUCUCUUUAGAAAUUUCAAGUGCCAACUGUAAGACUUGAUCCACAUUUGGUUCAACCUCCCCAUCUCUUGAAAGCAUGCAUCUCAUUGUCACAAAAUUCUUUUCAACUUCUUCCAUAGCCCAAGGCAAUAUAAAACAUAACUAUCAAUAUCCCAAAUUCUUAAACAUGAGUAAUUUACAAAGUAACUGAAUGUCUCUGCGGUCCAUUUUCGAUUUCAUUUCUGAACAUAACCCUGAUAGAAACUAAACCCCAACAUUUAGCUUGUGGCUAAAACAAAAAUCAUCCAUCCUUGGACCAAACCUAUUAUUUAUCUACAAUGCCAUUGAAAGUAGGCUAAAAUGGUGUUGAUCCCAUGAGACAAUAUUAGCAGACAUAGACAUCAAGCAAGCGUUGCCCCUUUUGUCCCAUUGGGUUAGAACUUGAGCAUUCCACUGCAGGUUUCAGGUUCAAAUCUUUAAGACUUUAUUAGAUGGGAGAGCUACCUCCAUUUCUCUAGCCUAAUGGACAAUGGAUUUUCUAUGUACAAAAUAAUAAAGCAUCAGCCAUUUUGUUCAUAUUACAAACAAAUGACAUUGGAAGACACUUCAUUGUUGACAUCCUAAUAACAAACAGUUAGCAUUUCAUGCGGGAAAGCAAAAAGCUCCAAAGAUUUUGGGAAGAAGAGCAAAGUAAUGGCAUAACACGUAAAAUAUUAAAACAACUAGCAAACCAAUGCCCAAAACAUUACCAAAUGAAAUAAUUCUUAAAACCCAUUUCAUAAUUUCAAUAUCACAAACAAACUUGAGACUCAACCACAUAGCCAAAUCCCAAAAAAAUUUGAAGAAUACAAGAAAUUAUGCUAAAAUUAAGCAUAACCCCCCCCCCCCCAAAAAAAAAAAAAAAAAAAAACUUUCAAGGGCUUUAACUUCAGCAACGGUUUUGGCGUCGAGAGCCAUGAGGCUGUCCUUGAUCGCCCUGGCUACCUCUUGCGGGGUUUGGGCCUUGACGGGUCGAAGAAAUAAGAAGGACAUGAUCGAUCAAAUGUCGAAAUGAUGUGAUAUGAUACGACCCAAAAUUCAAUUCUCUCAAUUUCACUUCGAUGAAUGAUUUGCAGAUUGAGAAAAAUGUAAUUGAUCUGUUGAUCAUAUAGACUUUUCACAUUUUCGUUUCAACUUCAAAUCACAACAUUUUGAAAAAAAAUAGAAAUUGCUCACAAAGUUUAAACUUCAAAGGGAAACUUUUUUUUUUUUCAGUAGGGAAUGUGGGUUUUUUUUAAAUUUUUUUAAAUUAAUAUAAAUAGCAAUAUUACUCCGGAUUAAUAUAUUAAUUUAACUAUGAAUUAUAUCACUUUUUACUUUGAUAUUUAUUAAAAUUUUAUAAUUUAAAUAUUUUAUUUCUAUUUUAUAGUUAUUUUAUAUUAUCAACUAAUAUUAUUAAGUAAAAUGAUGAUAUAAUAAUAUUAAUCAAAUGAAAUCGAUUAUCUCUUGGAUCAAAUGAAUAUAUUAUUAAAAUUUAUAUUUUAAAAUUAUAAAUUUGAGAGAAUUUAUACAUAUAAUAUUUUUUUCAAUCACUUUAAGUAAUAAGGUAUUGGACUUUAAGUAAGAGUAAAAAUUUCAAACAAACAAAAAAAAAGACAUUAAUCAAUGAAAUUAUAUCAUGUAUCAUAAUUUUAUUUUUAAAAUUUUUUUGUUAUAAUAAAAUAAAAGUUAGAUAUUAAGUUAUAAAUUUUUUAUAAAUGCAAAUCAUAAAAAAUAUUUAAUGCAAAUAUCAAAUUAAAAGUAAGUCUUCUUUAUUACAAUAGUAAAUUUUCAAUGAAAAAUUUAUAUUUCAUAUAUUUCACCAAAAUCGUUUUACCUCUAAUUUGUUAAUAUAUAAUUAUAUUAAUAAUUAAUUUAUACAAAUUAUAAUUGAUAAAAUAUCAUCAAUGGCACGGUAUGCUAAAAAAAAAAACUUAAAAUCUUAAUUUAUAUUAAAAAAUUUAUUUGAAGAUAAUAUCAUUUAUAUUAGCUAAUAAUAAUUAUUGAAUUUUUUAUUAAAUGAUGAUUAUAUAAAAUGAAUUUAAAAGUUUGGGAUUCAAAAUUUUACAAUUUUAAAAUGUAAUAACUUCUUAUGUUGGUAGCCAAAUUAAAUUUCCUAUAAAAAUAUGUUAUCAACUUAUGUCUACCAUUAAAAAUAAAGAAAAAAAAUUCUUAUCAUGUUCUAAUUUUCCUUUAAACAACUUCAUCAAAAAAAAAAAAAAAAAAACGAGGUAUUAUUGGAAAUAAAAUAAAAACAAAAGCGUUUCCUUAGUUAUCGCUUAAAGAUAUAAUUUAAUUAAAUUGAGUCGAAUUAUUUAAAAAUAUGAUUAAAUUAAGUCGAAUUGAUAUAAUAAAUAUUUUAAUUUAAAUUUGACUUUAAAAUUUAUUAUUUUAAAUUUGAUUAAAUUUUAAUUUUUAAAUUUAAAUUUAACUCAAAAUAAAAACUGAAUUGAUCAAAUUUACUCUAUUAAAUAUAUUUAAUAAAAAAUGAGUUUGAUUCUUAUAAUUAAUUUUAAGUUUUAUAAUGUAUUUAAAUUUGAGUUCAAAUUUAAAUUGAUAUAUAUAAAGAUAAAAUAAUAAUUUUUUAAGUAAAAUAAAUUUGAUUAAAUUUGUUAGUUAUUCAAUUAGAUAUUAAAAUAUUUAAAUUUAAUUCUUUUUAAAAAAAUCAUUUUACUUCAAUUCGAUUAAAUAAUAAUUAAAUCAAUUUAAUUUUUUAUUAAAUUAAACUUAAAUAUCUUAAAAUAUUAAUAUCUAUUUACACGUUAUAAUUACCAAACCCGACUCCUUCGCUUGCCUAAAUUAUUUACAUCAUAGAAAACUAUUUCCGUCAAAAUAUUUAACAAUAAUUUUCAAUUUUCCUUUUCUUGAUCUCGGAGAAGAAAAAAAAAAGACUAUAAAAUUUUCCAGUACGGAUAACUCUAUGUAGUCCCCGAUGCGUGGCCAUGAUUGGAUCAACACAUGUCUUCCGGACGAGCUGAUCUUGGAGAUCUUACGACGGGUGGAUUCCAAAGCCAGCCACGAUGCCUGCUCCCUCGUCUGCAGACGGUGGCUCCGUCUCGAACGGCUUGGUCGCACCACCCUCCGAAUCGGCGCCUCUGGAAGUCCAGACCACUUCGUCAAGCUCCUCGCUCAACGGUUCAUCAAUGUCAAAGCCGUUCAUAUUGACGAGAGAUUAUCCAUUUAUUUACCUGUCAACGUGGUAAUCAAAUCUAAAAUUCGUCAAUUUACGAUAAAUUUCAGUUUUUUUUUGCGUAGUUUUUAAAUAAGUUUGGCAUUUAAUGCACCCUGAAUUCUGAAAAUGAUAAUUAUUACAAUAGUUAAAUACUUUGAUUAUCGCUUUUGUUAUUUACUUAGCAAAUUGUAAAACAAAUUACUAAAAUAUAAUAGGGAUUGUAGUAUAAUUAAUCAAUACAUGUAAAAGGAAUAUCAUUUAUUUUUGUUAGACCCAAGGAUUCGGCUAUUCGUGUGCUGUAAAAUACUAAAAUUUGUGUAUUCAUAUUAUGUUUUACACUAAAAUUAUGUGUCAUAAUUCAUCAUUAAAAUAUGAAAUACUUUUUUUAUUUUGUUUAAGCGAGUAUAGUUAUUGUUAAAAUCUUAAACCUGUGUUAUCUUCGUGUUAUUUUUCCUAUUGUAUUCAUGUUGUGUCACUGUGUAUUUUUAGAUUACCAAGUCUAAUUUUUGUUAUAAAAGAAAAUACAUUUUUAAUAUUUAAAAUUUCAAAAAUAUUGCUUUUUCGCAUGGGGAAGCAAUAAGGAAGUAGUAAAAUCAACGACCCAAUGAUAGACAUGUUAAUGAGGUAGUUUAAGUUGUUGGUGCAGGGGAAAAAGCAUGGCAGAGAUGGGAAUUCAUUGACAUCUCUCAAGGUACACUACGCGGCUGAAAAAUUGGGUACGAAGAAGAGGAGUGCGAAUCAUUCUGUCUGACAGAUGCUGGUUUUGACUGCUGUCGCUGAUGGCUUUUCUAAACUAGAAAAGUUGAGCUUAAUCUGGUGUUAUAUGUUACAAGUUUGGUAUAGUGUCCCUUGCACAAGAAAUGCUCUUCUUGAAAUCCUUGGAUUUGCAGGUAAUUCAUCAUAUUUGAGUGGAGACUGGUGAUAUUUUACUCUAUCACGUUUGCUCAAUUGGGUUGUUUAUGGAUUAUUUUUCAACAAUUUCGACUAUAUACCACUCUACUUGUCAUGUUCAUUAAGCAAUGCACUACUUGCAGUUUAGUUGCCUAUGAUGUUUUUCUGUAGGGUUGCUAUGUUGGAGAUCAAGGUCUAGUUGUUGUUGGCAAGUGUUGCAGCAAACUUGAGGACCUAAAUUUGCGUUUCUGUGAAAGCUUGACUGAUGCAGGAUUGGUUGAUUUGGCCACUGGUUGUGGGAAAUCAUUGAAUCUCUUGGUGUUGCUGCUUGUGCGGGAAUAACUGAUAAAUCACUGGAAGCUGUGGGGUCUCAUUGCAAAUCUCUGGAUACCUUGUCACUGGAUUCCCGAGUUUAUCUGCAAUAAAGGGAUCCUUGCUAUUGCCCGAGCUGUUCUCUUUUGAAAGUCUUGAAGUUGCAAAUGUAUUAGUGUUUACAGAUGAGGCUUUGAUGGCAGUGGGAAUUUCUUGUUUGUCAUUGGAAAUAUUGGCCUUGUACAGUUUCCAGCAAUUUACAGACAAGUUAGUUACUAUUCCUUAGAAAGAUCACCAUAAGUGAAUUGUAUGCCUAAGGCUAUUUGACCAUUUUGUUCCCCCCUCUAAUUCUGUCUUUUGGAAUAUAAGUGGACCCCAAAGUUUUGUUGUCUAAUUCUAAGGUCUAUUUAUUAUGUUUUAUGAUACAUGGUAUGACUGCUGAAGUAUACAUCUGAUUUAUGUCUCAGUGGUUUUCGUGCUAUUGGAAAAGGGUGCAAGAAGCUAAAAAAUCUUACUUUGAGUGAUUGCUAUUUCCUGAGUGACAAGGGUCUGAAGGCAAUCGCCACUGGCUGCACUGAAAUUACACAUCUUGAAGUUAAUGGCUGCCACAACAUUGGAACCAUUGGACUGGAGUCUGUUGGGAAAUCAUGCCCGUAUGUUCUGUUAUUUUCCCUUACCACUCUUUUAAAGGGACAGGAGGCCUGACUUUAGCAGGAGCUAGGGAUCAUAUGCAGUUCCUAUUGUUGGGCAUUCUUUGGUUUUCCACAUGUAGUUAAUUAAAAUUACCACGUAAAAUUUUAUUGCAAAUUUUUAACUGUGUCGAUUCUGAAGCUUGUGACUUGGUGUAGGCGCCUCACUGAGUUGGCUUUAUUAUACUGCCAGAGGAUUGGUAAUUUUGCUCUUCAUGAAGUUGGAAGGGGCUGUAAAUACUUGCAAGCUCUUCACUUGGUAGAUUGCUCUAGCAUUGGAGAUGAAGCGAUUUGCAGUAUAGCAAAAGGUUGCAGAAAUCUGAGGAAACUUCAUAUUUGGAGAUGUUAUGAGGUCUCUUUCUCUCUCUCUCUGUGUGAUGGAAUUUUUCCUCCAACUACAAAUAUUCUUGAACCACUACUACUGACUUGCUUGGGUGCUAUCCUGUUCUACAUUAGGAAAAUGGUUUUGCCUAUUGCCUGGAAAGGGAAACUGUCUAUUUAACGAGAUUUCUCCUCCUCCUCCCUCUCUCACUGAUGUCUUAUGUAGGACGUUUUUCUUUUCUGUGUAAGAUGGCAGUUAGAUGGUUAUUAUUUUAAGAAUGGAGUUUUGAACCAAAUAUUUUCAGAAAUGAUUGAAGUAAGAAAUUUAUUGAUAGUUUUUAAUGCUUCAUCUUUUUAGUCUCCAUCUUAUGUAGACUUGCUCGUAUCUUUCGAUGCUGGCAGUCAUUUGUUUUCAGUUUCAGCAAUUAUAAAUUGUGAUAUAAAUCAUAACUUGUAUGUCUUCCAUUGUCGAUAGGUUGGAAACAAGGGAAUCAUAGCUGUUGGUGAGCAUUGUCACUCUCUCACUGAUCUUAGUCUCCGAUUUUGUGAUAGGUGCAUCUCAUUGCAGUUUCCUUCUGGCUUAGUUUGUGUGAUAAUGCUAUUUCUUCAUGCUGUUUCAUGUUUUCAGCUGUUCUUGAUUUUUGUUUUGUCUGAAAUAUGGUUCCCUUAAUUGGCAUUUUAUCUAACUUUAGCCUUUUUCUAUUAGGGUGCAGGAUGAGGCUCUUAUUGCCUUAGGUCAGGGAUGCCCCUUAGAACAUCUAAAUGUCAGUGGCUGCAACCAAAUUCGGGAUGCUGGAAUUGUAGCCAUUGCAAGAGGAUGCCCUCAACUCACUUACCUAGAUGUCAGUGUUCUCCAGGUGUGUCCCUCUCCCACUCCGCCCCUUUGCUUCUGUUCUACUUUCUUUGUACGCUCUGGUCAUUAUGCUUACUUCUUCUGAUGCUGUACUCUGAUAAAAAUAUUUUGUUUUCGGAAUCUCAAGUGAACUUCAAUCUGACUGUUAUUUAUUUUGCUUGCAAUUCCUUUUCAAUACUUGCUUAUCAAUUCCUUCAUGGAAGAAUUUGGGGGAUAUGGCACUGGCCGAGUUAGGAGAAGGUUGUCCCUUACUCAAGGAUAUAGUGCUCUCACAUUGCCGCCGAAUAACAGACAUAGGUCUUUCCCACCUCGUUAAAAAUUGCCGAAUGCUCGAGUCUUGCCACAUGGUUUACUGCCCUAGCAUAACCGCCAACGGAGUUGCCACCUUGGUUCUAGUUGCCCCAACAUAAAGAAGGUUCUGGUUGAGAAAUGGAAGGUUAGCCCUAGAACCAAAAGAAAAGCCGGCUCAGUCAUCUCCUAUCUCUGUGUGGACCUGUAGUUAGGACAUCAAGUUGUGCAUAUCAAAGCUGGUCACAUUGACACGAUGCCUUGCCUGCUUAUUUAAUGGUUUUUUCUUUUUGCCCUUUUCAGAGUCACUUUCCAUGUAUUAUCAAGGCUCUUGUUAUAUGCAUUUUCUUUAAUAAGAUUUUAUAUUUUUAGUGAUAAAAUCUUUGGUUAGGAAGUUUUUUCUACAUUUUUGUUCAAAAUAUUUGUCAAAGUCUUAACCAAUAAAAGCUGCAGCUAUGACAUAUUAAAUCUUUUUUCUGUAAGAUGAGAGAAUAUUAUUAUUUAUUUUUGAAAUUUACCACGUAUUAAUUCCAUUCCAUGUGCCAUUCUUGACAAAUUGUAAGAGACAUUAAUCCCAAGGAAAAAAAAAAUUACUUAUGAAUUGACUUGAAUAUGUAUAAAAAAAAUCUGUUUAUUAAUAUUUUUAUUGCAAAAAAUAAUAAAAACUAAAAAAUAAAAGAUAAAUAACAAAACAAUCAAUCAAAUUAAAUUAAUAAUUCUAUGCAAUCUUUACUUCUUUAAUUUCCUUAUCUGUUUGGGAUUUUAAUUUGGCCCCAAAAAAUCGGAUUUUAAUAAGAAAAAAAUAUGCCAUUUGUUUAUUUUAUCGGUUUAAUUAAAUUAUUUUUAUUAAUCGAAUUAAAUUUAUUAAUUUUAAAAAUUAAUUGAUUAAAUUAAAUUCAAUCGAUUCAAUUAUUUUUUUAAUUAAUUAAGUAAUAAAUAUUUUAAAUUAAAUUAAAUUUUUAAUUUUUAUAUUUUAAAUAAAUUAAAUAAAAUUAUUUAAUAAAUAUUUAAAUACUAAAAUAUUAUAUUAAAAACUCUAAAAAAAUAAAAUAUUUUUUUAUAUAUUUUUGUUUAUAUUUAAAUUUUGUUAUAUUUUUAUAAAUCUACUUAUCAAACUAAAUUAAUUAAAAAUUAAAAAUUUUUUAAAAUUAUUUUUAUUAAUUAAUUAAAACUAAUUCAACAACUGAUUAAUUAAUCAAAAUAAUUCGUUUCGAACAAUUAAUUCAAUUAAAAUCGAUUUAUGAUUGUCCUUACAAAUGCAAAUCCAGGCGUUUUGAAUAAUGAGCAAAGCUUGGACAGUUACCAGAUUCCAAAAAAGAACCCGUCUUCCUACUUUGCUCGGCACCUUCGUUUUUUCCCAUUGUCAAUCUUUCUCUCUCUUUCACUUCAAGCAAAAACGAAAAGUGAAAUCCAAUCCAUGCCUAACGAUUGCAGUAUCAGAGCUCUGUGGAUCCUCAACAAUCUCGACGCCGUCGUUUUCUCCAGGUUUUAUCCAUCAGCGGAACUCGCUUUCCAUUUCAAAAUCUCUCAUACAUGAAUAUUUUAGGGAUUUGUUCUCUUUUUUUUUUUACUUUUUUAAAAAGAUUUGGAAAUAGAACUCGAUAUUACUUAAGAGGCAUGCUUAAGCUCCAAAUAAUUUUAAAAAAUGGAAAAUUUUGAUUUAGUUUGUUUAAACAUUCAGGAGGUUUCCGGUGGUGGAGAAGCGGUGGCUAGCUGCUUGCCAAACUGAAAGCCAUAGCUCGGAUGACGAUCCUGUCAAGUACACUGUAUUUUCUUCGCUUCCCUCGGAUUCAGAGUUAGCUGCCGCUUUCUCUGAGAGAAGGAGAAGGUUAGAUAAUCUUCCAGUAGCUCUUUAAAAAUCUUUUUCAUUACUGACAUGAACAUUCGCUUUUAUUACUUUUUUUAAGCUUGAAUCGCAUGUUAUUAUUAUGGCCUAGGUAAUUAUGCUGUGGAAUUAAAUAGUUGCUUAAUCCAACGAAAGCCUUAUUAUUAAUGCUUCAUUUGUUUGUUAUUUUAGCAACUUAUCUUUUGCCUCCGAAAGCAAAAACUAAAACAAUGUAUUUGGGUUAAAAAACAAAGAAUAUUAUAAAUGUAACACACAAACAUAGCUGUUUGAUAUAAUCCUGCUUUAAUGGUGUUAAUUGCUUUUCAAUUUUUAACUUUGAUUUUGAUAUAUGUGUUUUGUUAAUUUUUACUUGUUUGCUGUGUUUUACAGGGAGGGGUCUGUCCGGGGAUUUGGUAUACGGGUAAUACAGUCAAGAGAAGGAUCAGAUUCAUGGGUUGAUGAUCCGAUUACGCGUCAUAUUAUAGGCCUUUACAUAAACAAAGAGGAGGAAGGAGAGAAUAAUCUAUUGUGGCCUUUAGCGUUGCACAUAAAGGGUCCGUAUUGCAUCCUUAUACUGCCUUUACUUGAGCCGAGAUAUGUAAAGGCUUACGAAAGGUUGUGUAAGAGAUCUGAUUGUGGAAAUGCUGUCAUGGUAGAUGAAUAUUUAUCUUCUGUACUCCUUGAUCUUCCAUCCAUCACAGGGUAUGGUAAGUUACAUGCUGUAUUAUUCAUUUAAGGUAGUGCCGGCAGAUUGUUUCCAACAUUUAAAAAAAAAAAAAUCUAUAACUCUUUCUUUUUCUUCCUUUUCCUCUGUGAAGUUCUUAUCUAUUCUGUUUGUUCAGCUUCCUCUAUUUUAAGCUGGCUUUUCAUAGUCAUUUUCUAUAAGUUAUUGUUUUGUAUAACUCUCUGUAUCUUUAAUUUAGAAAUAGCUAUGAAUGAAUGUGAAAUUAUUUUGUCCUCGAUGUUAUGAGUACCUUCCGUGACAUGCCUUACAUGGAACAGAAAGCUAUGAGAAUUUACUACCGUGAUUUGUUAUGUUGUAAUUGUCAGUAAAGCUGGUGCUCAGCUUGUUUUGUGCAUUGAGUUUGUCAUACAACUGUUUCACACAUUAACUGAAUACAACUUGUCUAUAUAUAUAUAUAUAUUAAUUCAGUUUUUUCAAAAGGUUCAUUAUCUUUCAGUUCAUUACACAAUUUUGCAUCCUUUAUGUUACUAGGAAAAAGGGAGGUGACCUAUUGUUUUAGUUCUUUCUUUUCCUAUGCUGCAGGGCAUUCAUGGUGGCUCAUGCCAUCGGUGACAUAGUUACUGGGGAUGUAGUAGAGCCUGAGGUGGUUGUAAGUGCAUCACCAUCAGUGGGUGGGUUGUUAGACUCACUCACUGGAAGUAUUGGGAUAUCAGGAAUCUCUUCAAGGGCAAAGCCAGUAGCUGCACCUGUUGCAUCUUCUACACCAUCUGGCACUGCUGUGAUAGGAGCUCUUGCAUCUGAUGUUCAAAAAUUGGUUCAAGGCUUUUGGAUAAAGAUGCACUUAGAAGUUUCAUAAGUAGCGCAAUGCCUUUUGGUUGGUAUUUUUUUGUUAUGUUAUUUAUCAUCACAGAUGUCCUUUUAUAUUUUUUUAUUGUGGAUUAUCAUUAGUUUGCCUAACACUAUUUAAUGAUGAGUAAUUUAUCUUUUAUACAGGAACUCCCUUGGACUCAGCUAUUCCAACAUUUUCUCUAUCAAGGUAAAUGGCUUUUCUGCGUUAGAUAUGCCUCCACAAGACCUCAAGCAACCGGCAUGGAAGCCCUAUCUAUACAAAGGAAAGCAGAGAUUGCUAUUCACCAUUCAUGAAACUCUUCAUGCUGCCAUGUUGAUCGAGAUGAGAUUCCAGAUAGUUUAUCAGUCUCUGGGCAGAUAAACUGCCGAGCAGAACUGGAAGGACUGCCUGAUGUGUCAUUCCCCUUGACAGGGUUGAGCACAGCUAAAAUUGAGGCUUUAUCAUUCCAUCCCUGUGCUCAGGUUCCGGAACAAAAUGUAGAUAAGCAGGCUUUGAUGUUCUCACCACCUUUUGGGUAAUUUUGUGUUGAUGCGCUAUCUAGCAACAUGCAGUCUUGGACCUCCUGUAAAGGGAUUCUAUCAAUUGUCUAUGGUCUCUGAGGAUGAAGGUGCAUUUUUGUUCAAAUUGCACCUAAUGGAAGGUUAUCAGUCUCCUUUGACGAUGGAGUUCUGUAAUGUGACUAUGCCUUUUCCAAGAAGAAGGGUUUUAUCUUUUGAUGGGACCCCAUCAAUUGGAACAGUUUCAUUUGCAGAGCACUCUGUUGAAUGGAAAAUUAUCACAAGUGGACGAGGGCUUUCUAGGAAGAGUAUUGAGGCAACAUUCCCUGGAACAGUUAGGUUUGCCCCUUGGCAGACACAAAGAUUAAAUUCCGUUAGGUCAGUUUUUGAAAGUGCGACAGAUGAAGAUAGUGACAAUGAGACAGAGAAUACUAAUAAUAUGGUAAACAUAGAGGAGCUCUUAAUGGAGAAAAUGAGUAAGGAUCUUACUCCAGUUGAUCUAGAGGAGCCAUUUAGCUGGCAUGCAUACAACUAUGCUAAAGUAUGUUUUUUUGUCUUGACUUUUUUAGCCUUUGGUUGUUUUUUUGAGUUUCGGGAAUUCCUUCAAGUUACUGUAUUUUAUGCUGAUUUAUCAUCUGCGGACUUCUUUUCUUACCCUAAAAAAAAAGAGCGAUUGGCCUUGUCUGGUCUAUGCGUGUUAGCUAUAUAUGGAAAGGAAAAUAUUAUUAAACGGCAAUGAACUUUUUCUUACCUAGAGUAUGGCUAUGACUCAAUUCGAGAGAAUGCCCCUAGCCUUAUAGAGCUGGCUCUUAAGGGUCCAUCUUCUGCUGGCUUUCUGUCCUGGUCCCUUCUUCUAAUAUUGGUUCCCUUUUGAUUAAGGGCUGCGAUGACACCAUUCAAGGAGUUGCAAAAAAACUGAUUCCAACUCCUAACUAAAGUAAAAAAAAAAAGUCCCCAAAAGGAAAUGUAACAUCAAACAUGGAUUUGUGACCUGGUCCUCACUUAUGGUUACAGGUAUCUUUCAAGGUUGUUGGGGCAUCAUUAUCUGGAAUGUCUAUUGAUCCCAAAUCAGUAAGUCUACAUUUCUCCAACUUGCUUCCCAUGUUUAACUUCAGUUGACACUCUGCAUAAUGUAACAACUAACAAGAACAUAAAUGGAGAUUGUUUAUGUUAUACUCAAGUUGCUAGCUUUCCUAUGUAGGUAAGCAUCUAUCCUGCUGUAAAAGCACCUGUAGAGUUAUCGACGCAGGUAGAACGGUCUCAAAACACCAAUUUAAAUUUUGAUAGAUUUAGCUUUAUUUUCCUUUUGAAAUGACAGUCGAUUGUAUUUGUCCCUGAUCCUCUUCCUUCUGCGUUUAAGGAAAUGUACAGUUUUGUUGACUUCUGGGUUUAUAAACAGGUCACUUCUGGGGACUAUAUCAUGUGGAAUACAUUAGGAAAGUGCCCAUCUGCUGUUACUGCAAAAGUGUAAUGGAUGGCAUACAAUACCUCUCAUAAACGCAGACGGAUUUUUCACAAUGGGGUCAGCUGCCUCUACUGAAAUCUUACCACUUUUUUUUUUUUUUUUGUAUUAUGUAAUUACUAGUACUAGUUUAAAAGUAGUUUUAAUUUUGCUCUCAUUGAAAUUUAAUUGGCAUUUAUUUUAAAUUUAUUUAGACUUGUAUUAACAUCGACAAGAGGUUAUAUCUCCUUGUGAUGCCCACAUUCACCGAAUUCCACCAUAGAAACGCCUGUUCUGAUUCAGCUUACAUUUUCGAACCAGCAAUCUUGUGGGUCAUGGAAUUAGCCCGUAGAAAAUACAUCCCAAAACUGAAGUUAACCAUUUUGCACAGGGAUGACCAUGGAUUGUAAAUAAAUGGAUAUUUAUUAUUAUUUUAUUUGUUACAGAUAAUUAAUAAAUUCGAAUAAAAGAUUUAUUAUCUGUGAUAAAUAGGAAUAAUAUUUUUGAAAAUUUAAUAUUCAAAUUCGUUUAAAUUUUAAUGAAUAAUAAUAAAUAUCUAUAUCCGAAUUUAUCAUUCGUUUAUUUAUGUAAACAUAUAAAAUUUUAUGUUUAUAAAAAGUUUAGGAUUUUAAAAAAAUAAUUUUAAUUUAUUAUUAAUUAAUAGUGAAUUUAAAUUUUAAAAUUAAAAUUUUGUUUUUCUUAUAUUUUGAACAAAAAUUUUAAAAUAAUAAAUAUUUUAAUGGAUUUAAAUAUUUAAAUGAAUAAUAUUUAUUUAAAUGAAUUUAAAUUUGAAUGAUGAUAUUAAGUUUAAACGAAUAUUUAAAAAUAUUUAUAUAAUAUAAAUAUUAAAUGAAUUUAAAUACAAAAUAUUCUUUGUUGAAAUAUAGGCUAAAAUUUGCAUAACAUUAUUAUGGUUCUGCUAAUAACUUGUCUUUCAUAUUCACAUCCCAAAGCUUUCCUACAUCGUCGACGUCAAGGUCUGAGUCCAAGUAAUGUUUGAAAUAUUUUAAAAACGCUGACCAAAAAAACAAUUGUUAAUUGAUUAAACAUGAUGUAUUAAUCAAGGAGUGACUUAAAAUCUUUAGAAAGAUUUAAAAUCAAGGAAUGCUCAAGCUUGGAGAUUUGAAUUCUUCAUGAAAAAUAAAUUCUAUUUCAAGUUUACGCCAAAACUUUCGGAUAACCAAACAAUGAUAAUAUUUGAAUGCGAUGUCUGAAAUUUUGCAUUAUCAGAAUGCUCUCACAAAGACAACUCCCAACCAAACUCUCCAUCUGGGUUAUCAAAUUUUGAGUACUCAAGCCACCAGUCUUAUCAACUGAACAAAAAAUACUGACAGAGAAGGAAAGUUGAUUUGGAACAAGUCUGGAAUAGCAGGCAAUGAUUGAUAAUUGACCUUAACAGCCUGAUAAGGUGAUGGAGUCUCAACAUGCGCAAUGCAUUUUUCUGUACAAAUUUCAACUCAAAAUCAAAUGUCAAAAACUGAUUUUUUUUAUGUCUAAAAAAUGCAGAGCUUAUGGCUUAUCCCAUGCGGGUUAUGUUACAUAUUUUCUAAAAACUAAUGACAAGUUCCUUGACUAAUCUCAAAAUAUGUCAAAUUUUGUCAACUGAUCAAAGAAAAAGAUAAGAAGAAAACCAGGCAAAGAACAGUAACACCAUUCCAUUGUCCAAAAGUAAAAGGAUUUUGGUCUCAAUUGACAUAAUUUAACCCAACCCCUCCAAUCCAAUUUUUUUGAGCUUUUCUGUCAACGAGUCACUUCAGAAUUGGGAAGAAUCAAAGUAGAAAAUUGAAGUCAGAUUGACAAUUAUUUUCUUUUAAAUUAUUAUUUAUAGACAUUUUUUUUUAAAUAAUCGUUUAGAUUUUAUCGUAUUUUAGUGUGAUGUGAUUAAGUUUAUUAUCCUUUUAAUUGAAUUUAAAAAUUAACUCUAAUGAAAUUAAAUCAGCAUAAAUUUUUCAUUAAUUUUUUUUUAAAUUAUAGUUAUAAUAAAUUUUAUUAUUAUUUUCAAUCUCACCAUCCAUCCAAAUGAAACUUAAGACAGUUGCUUUGAAGUGUUAAUUUUUUUUAAUAUGUAAUCGUAUUCAUGAAUUUUUUUUUCAUAAAUCAAAAGUUAUGUUUUAAUAAUUUUUAAUUAAUUUUAAAAUUUUAUUAAAAAAAUAAAUUUUUAAUGCGAGGAAUCACAUCUAAUAAAAAAAAUUGAUAAUAAUUUUUUUUUAUUUUAAAAUUUUCGUCGAUCAAUCCCCAAAUUGUUAUAACAAUUUAAAGAAAUAACAAUGAAUAAUGAGAAUCAAAUCCGAGUUUUUGAAACACGAAAAUUAUGUGCCAAACAUUAAAUCAAAAACUAAAUGUUAAGUUUUAAAAGAGGAAAAUGGGAUCAUCAUAUAAUUAAAGAUGUAAAGGGGGAAACUGGUGGAACAUGAUUCUCUACACUGGGAUUGAAUUAUUUAAUUAAAGGGAUUAAUUCUUAAGCUUGAUGCCUUUUGUAUCAUGCAUGUCACGUUAAGCAUAUAAUCUUACUCAUAACAAUAUCAACAUUAUAAUCAUUAUGUUACAUUUUUAGCAGGAUACACUUCUUUUCUUCGUCUCAUUUCCCUACUUCUAGAGUAAUAGAUUCUUUGUCUGCCUAAUGAAACCACCUGGUGGGCUUCUUAAGGGCCUGUUUGGGAUGCAAGAAAACCCUUAGUACUUAAACAAUUCCAAUAUUCUAUGUCAAAUUAUCAAUUUACACCAAUAAACAAACCAAUUUCAAUUACGUUUUGUAAUUCAGUAAACCUUACAUAGACAUAAAAUGUGUUUUGAGCUGUUCAAAUAUUCCUAAAUUAAGAAGGAAAAAAGGGUUUUUCUAAAGAGUCAAAGAAAAAGAGAAUUAAGUAUCAACUAAAGGUUGAUUCGACCCUUUAAUUCAUUGGUCUUGAGAAUAAAAAAUUUUGGAUUCAGCCAUUGGUGACCAAUUGAACGAAUUACACACAUAGGUUUCAAGCUCCCUUUGGCAGGAUGAUGAGAGAUACUCAUAUUGCACCGUAAUGUUAUUUUAUGAUUAAAAUUUUAAAAAUAUAAUAAAAAAAACGUAAUUAUAAUAUGAUGAAAAAAAAAUUUUACUGUGUUUUCACUAAAAAAAAGAGAAUUAAGUAACAAAGUUUCAAGUGAGAUAUGCUUUGACAACAUAUCCCAGAUAAGGAUUUGAAAGAAAAAAAAAAAAGCAGCUAAUCAUAAGUGCUGUUCUAAGCACUUAUUAGAACCAAGUAUUAAUUAGGGUUCCAAGAUGUCGGCAGUGCUCUCUACCUGUUGGUCCACUAUCACAAAAGCCUAAUCACCAUAUCACAUAUCGCUUUGCUCUUCCAAAAAAGCUCUCUUAUUGUGGAAAGUGAGGAAAAUGUAGGGAGCUUUUCAAAGAGAUUUGUCCAGAGAAAAAAAAUGUUAAAAACGAGGGUGGGUUAUGAAUUAGGGAUACGUAGAAAAGUUGGGUUUAAUAAGUUAAUAGUAAGGAACCAGCUUUUGAAAGAGGGCAGAGAGUUGGAGCAGAGGGAACAUGAUGGCCUCCUUGUUUACAUAUCCAUGCCUGACACCUUGGUCCCAAUUGGCAUUAUCAAUGGCAUCAAAAACAAGUGUUUGGGGUCUCUCUAAAUUUUAUGAAAUCUCUUGAAAUUCUCUCCCAUUGCAGAACGAAAACAUGCAUUUUUCUACUCACUUUUCUAUGGGUCCACUUGUUUUUUGUGCUACUCUGGGUUGGUCUAAUUUUGGCUCCCAGGGCAUAAGGAAUGACUCAUGGUUAUGUCAUUGACAUUGCAACAUUUGAGUUAAUGUCUUAAAGGAUUGAAUUUUUAGCAUUCUAAAGUUCUUCAUAUUGCCUUUCAUUCUCUUUUUUCUUGCCUAAAGAAUCAAAUUUUCGUAUUCAUGUUGGUUGUGUGGGAUAUUUCAAAAAUGAAGAGUUAGCAGCACAACUAAAACAACAAAGAAACAUGAAAUUUAGCAAGCAAAAAUGAGAAGUCCAUCCGUAGGGAGACUAUGUAGCCAAGAAAAUCUUAGUCGUAUGUAACAUAGGAGAUGGGGGUUUGGGGUUCCAUCGUCAAAUGUAAAAUCAUUCAUCUCGACGUAAAAGUUUUAGAUUCCAAUUUAAUCGAUACUUUUUUAUUUUAUUAAAAUAAUCUCAAAUAUAUUAUCUUCAACUAUUAUUUUUAAACAAUCGUAUAUAACGCUCAUCUUAUUCCAAAGACAGACGGAGAUGAUUGGGUGGGACAGAACACUCAUGUACAGUACAAGCAUACUUAAAACUGUACGGUGAAAGGAAAGGAAUAAGCCAGUAAUAGUAGUUGUGUAAAGUGGUGGCAAUUGGGGUAAGUCAGAGAUAGAGAGAAGUGUGACACAGUAAAAUGAUUCUUGCUUUGAGCAAAUUCAUUUUUUAUCAGAAAGAUUCUGCAUAUUCCUUUUCUUUUUAUCAAGGGAAGGAAAGGACAGAGGGAGGAGAAGGGAUUCUUACACAAUAUCAAGCACGGAGGAAUGAUGCAACGAUGUCGGUUUGUCUGUUAUUUUCAUCCUCGUUGGUUGAAUAAUAGAUUUUGCCUUUGCCCUGCAUGGGGCUCGAGGCAUGUAUUUUCACUCAUUUUCAUGGGUGACUGAGAAAGAGAGGGAUUUUGUUUUCUAUGAGUUUUGUGGGCUUGGCUUUUACAAGGUUACUAUGUUAUGGCAAUGGCAACUUAAAAGGCUACCCUAACAUUUCUGUUUUGCCCUCAAAAAAUCUUAGCACUACGAGGUAUGAUUUCUUGUGGGAGCCAUAUCCAACUCGAAUAUUAAGACAGUUGUUCUUUCACUUCAAUAUCUCCUGUUUGUCACCAUUUAUCCACAUCUCUUUCACUAGUGUAAUUCACCCAAACGUUACCCCACCAAAAUUAAAAAAAAAUUACUAAAAACAUGAAUGUUUAAUGGUUAAUCCGAACCGGGAUUUGAUUUAAAUUUUUAUAUUAUAUAAUAUUAUUAACAUUAAAUAUUUGAUUUGAAUUAGAUUUUAUUGAUUUAGUUUGGUUUUUUUAAUUUUUAAGUUUUAAAUUUUUAUUAUUUAUAAUUAUUUUAAUAUAUUUUUAAUAUAUUAAAUAGAUUUCUAUAUAAAAUAAUUAUUUUUUAUUUUAUAAAAAUUUAAAAUAUAAUUCGAUUCGAUUCAAUUUUUUUAAUUUUCAAUGUCUUAAUCCAAAUUAAUAUAUAUAUUUAAUAUCUGAAUUUAAUUUGAACCAAAUAAAAAGUAUUUAUUUAAAUUAAAUUGAAUAUUAUAAUUUCAAAUUAAUUUUUAAUUUUUUCAAUUUUUUUUCUCACCCCUAUAUACUCAUGCUUCCUUUCCAAUCUCUUCCAAUAUUUGACCAGGAAAGCACUCAAACCCAACAAAAAUGAAUAUCAUCAUACCAUAAAACUGUUACAUAUGCUUGGAAGAUUUGGUUUUUGACUAGUGAAAUGUAGUUCUAAUGUAAUGUCAUGCAAACCAAAACAUCCCAAGUUUGGUGACUUUGUGUGAAUCGGGAAAGUCAAUGGAGGUGAAAGGGAGAGAUCCUAAUUCAGAACGCACACCAUUAAAGCUCCCAAAAAGAGCUGCUUGACGACAAGUUGAAAGUGAUAUAUAUCCCAAUGAAAAUGAACCCCAAAUCAAAGCUCUCAUCAGAGCAUGUGGACACUAAUGUCAUGUAAUCAUUAUCAUCUCAUCGUAAAAUCAAUUUAUUCUAGUGUAUACUUAUAUUUAUGUAUCUAAUAAUUUAUUUUUUUAUUCGAUACGAUAUUAAUAUAUUUUAUUUACUCUUUCAUAUGAUUAGUGUGACAUUUUUUUUCAUUUAAUUUUAUUUUUUUAAAAUAAAUGAAGAAUCGACUCUAAUAUCAUUUAUCAUGUAAUUAUUAUAAUUUUUUUAUAAAACUUAUUUAUUAAAAGUAUAUAAUACCAAUAUUUAUAUAUUUAAUAAUUUUAUUUUUUAUCCAAUAUAAAAUUAAUAUGCACUACUUAUUUUUUUAAGUGCUUAGCGUAACAGUAACAUAUCAAAAGGAACAGAAGCACAUACAAAACACAAGCGUUGGUGGGCCGUAUGUACAAUUUUAACAAUAUUUUGUGCGCAUGAUACAGUAGCACUCAGCAGGGCUCAUUUAUUAGUGCUACCAAAUAAAUUAAAAAAAAAAAAAAAAAAAAGGAAACCUACCCAUUAAGUUUUGGGUUGCCGCAUGUGUGGCAAAUGGUGCGCGUGCAAGCAUGUGUGGCGGCUAAAGGCAACUUGUUCCAUGCCCAGCGAAGUGCAGGUGUCGACCAACCAAGGCCCCUGUGGGAUUAUCUGUCCAAGAACAAAUUCAUGGCUGGACCCUUGUUUGCCAAGAUGUUAGGGCGCACAUUAGAUGAUGUCUUGUUGCAAUGGGGCCAGGCCACGGUCGUUGUCGGGGGUCACAUUCAACUGAUAAGUGGGGCCACACAUGGGGCUUAGCUUAGGUUGCAUGAUUUGGGUUUGGCGGUAGGAGAGGUUAAAAAGGUGGCAAAGUGGGACAAAAGAUUAGGAUUAGGAUUAGGCCUGGUUUUUUUUUUUUUUAAUUUCUUUUUUUUUUUUUGUCCCUUCAAAUUCAGAUGCAAUAAUUUUAAAUUUUAAUAAAAUAAUACAAAAAAAUAAUGAAUUCAAAAUUUAAUAAAAAUUUAAAUAUAUUUAUUUUAUAUUUAAAAUAUCAAUAUAAAUUAUAAUAUAAUAUUUUUUAUAUUUAAUAAAAAUAUACAUAAAACAAAAACAAAAAUCAUCAAAUGUAAUCCAAAAUUACCCAAGUUUUUUAAAAAGUAAAAUUAAAUCCUAACAAGGAAGAUUUUGGUUGCAUCUUUUGAUGUAAAAGGUUGGAUUUUGUUGAGAGUUUGGUUGGGACUUUUAAAGCAAGAUUUGAUUUAAAUAAUAAAUAGGUAUCAUUGUUGGAAGUGUUUGACCAUUUUUGUUGAGAGAGACAGACCCAAAAAAAAAAAAAAAAAAAAAAAGAGAGAAAAUUUAGAGAAGAGUUGAGUCGAGGGUUAGAGGGAGAGGAACUUUUUGUGUGCUUGAGAUAGAUAGUGUGUGAGUUUGGUGAGUGCGCGUGCAGCUCAAGAUGUCGGAUUGUGGUCAUAAUGGAGGCUGCCCUGCCAGCCCACCCAUAUAAGAUGAUUCAUGACGCAUACAUUCUGAAUCAUUCCCACCCUUUAAAACUGCAUAUUUCAAUUUUAACUAAACAUUUUUCAUCAUUAUUAUUGCCUCUCCACCCUUGCAUUUCUUCAUUUUGUUUUCAUGUACUCCUUUGUAAUUUUCAUCAAUAGAUAAAAGCAAUUUUCCAUAUUAAAUUAAAAUUAAUUAGGAUCAUCUAGUUGAUAAAAACAAAUGUGUUUUUUUUUUUAUCAAUUAGGAUUUUAUUAUCGUGAAAAACGCAUUUCAAAAAUAAAAUUUUGAAUGUAAGAGAUUGAUGAAAAAAGUGCACUCUUAAAGUUGUUAAAAAAAUUAAUCAAAGCAAAAUUUAAAAAUACCUUUAACCAUAUUAUAUAUAAUAUUCAAUUUGAAACAAGCUAGUGAAAUGGGAUAAUAUUUUAUUUGAUAUUUUAAUUAUUUUAAUUUAUUUAAUGUGGUAUCUAAAUUAAAAAUAUUUGUAAUAAGUUUUUAAAUUUCAUUUUCAUAUACUAAAUUAUUUCAACUUUUAAUAUCAUUAGAAUAACAUUGAUGUAAUACUUAAAUAUUGACGUGAAUGACACGUGAUUGUCAUGCAACAAUGAUAUAAUUGUUAUGUGUUAUUUUUUAAAAAUUAAAAAAAUUCUUUUUUAAAAAUUUUAUUUUUAAAAAUAAUACAUGACAAUCACGUCUCAAAUUAUAUGAUAGUCACAUAUCAUCCAAGUUAGUAUUUAAAUAUUACAAUAAUAUUAUUUUAACAAUAUUUAGGAUUGGGACAACUUAAUAUAUAGAAAUGAAAUUUAGAUACCUAAUUCAAUUUUUUUUUUUUUUUUUGUUUUGGUACUUCAUUAAAAAAAUUUCAAUAAUUUAGAGACCAAACGAAGUAUCAUCCCUAGUGAAUUCAUGCUCCACCAUUUCUAAUUCUAACCAGCUGCUUUUGAGAUAAUGAUGGUACUUUUUUUCUUGUAUUCCACCUUUGCUUAUUCAUGUAUCUCUCCUUUAUACUUGUAGAGGGAAGCUUCCUUGGAGCUUAUCAUGUUGAAUUAUUAUUGUAGUCUUUGGUGUAAAGUCUUAAAUUAAAAGCCAAGGAGACUAAAAAUGUCAUGAGGAAGGUAGUUUAAGUCAAUUAGGAAACUACUUCUAAAAGCUAUAUAUCCAAAGCACUAAUUACCUCCAUUUUCCAUUAUUUUAAUUCUUGUUUAUUUGCUAGUCUAGGUUCAUCUUCAUUAAAGCUACAAAAAAACCACUACAACAUGUUCAAUUUUCUAUUCUUGCAACCUAAAAUUCAUACAGGAAACUAUAUAUAUUAUCUGCAGUUCAAAACUAACUAUGACUUGCAAUUUCCAGGAUUGAAGAAAAACAUGGAAAUAUACUUUUAUAAUCACAAUUCAAAUUAUGUUAAGACAACUUAUAAAAGUUGAUUGAGUCGAUAAAAAUACUUUAUUUAUAAAAUUAAAAUUAAAAUUUUGUUGUAAGCAAAUUUUUUAAUGGGUGAUAUGUAAAUCUUUAUUGAGAGUAUGAGACCAAAAAAAAGAAUGUUAUGACAAACUGAGGCAUUAACAGAAAAAAGUUGUGAAAGAUUUGAUAAGAAAAUGAUGAUUAUUAAAAAAGUGAUAAAAUUAUUGUGUUUAAGUGGAGAUCUGCACUCAAUUUGUGAGAUAUCUUUUAUUUUAACGUGAAGAUUUUAUGAUUUUAUUUCACAAAAAAUGUCUUAUAAGUUUGAGAUUAAAUCUCAAUUUAUAUAUCAUAACAAAUUUUCAAAAUAUCUUGAUGUGAGAUUGAGGUGUUACAAAUUCUCUCUAUUAAAAUUUGAUGUCUCCUCAAACUUAACAUAAAACACAGAUCAAUCAAAUUACACCAAACGUUGGGCAAGUCCAACAUAAAAUGUACACAAAUUACAAGAUCACAUCAUAUGUGAGAAUUCUAGACGUGGCUUUCACCAUAUAAUGCUUAGCACCCACAGGAUUCUAGAAGUGGCUCUACAGUAUAGCACUUAACUUUUAUUUGACUGAUAAUCACUCUGAUACCAUUUAUAAAAAUUCGUACUCAACUUACGAAGUAUUAUCCGUUUAAUUUAAAGGUCUUAUAAUUUUAUCUCAUAAAAAAUACUUUAUAAAUUUAAAAUUAAAUAUCAAUUUAUAUAUAAUAAUAAAUCCUUAAAAUAUUCCAAUAUGAUAUUAGAGUAUUAUAGUUUAAAAAGAACAUUUUCAGUUCAAAUUAAUUAGGGAUAUGGUUAAGAAGAGUGCAUUAAGGAAUGAAAAAAAAAAAAAAAAAGGAUAUAAUGCUCAACUUCAUGGAAUUUUCUUUUUUUUUUGGUUCAUGGAGAAUAAAAAUGAUAUGAGAUUGCUUUUGAUUUUAGGGCUUCCCCUAAUUCAAGGAUAUUCUCAUUACAUAGUUGCCACGCCUGAUUCCUUUUGUAUUUUCUUUUUUAAUUUCUGCAAACUUGUGGUUCUGCAUAAUUAUUAUUUUACUCUAUAAUAAUAUUGAUGAUAUUUUGGCACGUCUAGCUUUUACUAAUCACCAUAUAUGCCUUCUUUCAGAUGGACAAAGCUUCCCAUUUAACCCAGUUGCUCUCAUCUCUUUUCCUACUAAACUUUUCACUGCAUUAACUACUUAAUCCAAAAACAAAUAUUCAAUUCACCAACAAGGUUUUGAAAAAAUAAAUUUAUCCACGAAUGCUUUAUCGACCUACAAUGGUUAAUUCAAGUGAUAAAGAGAUGAAUUUUUUUCGUUGUCAAUGAGAAUUUAAUCAUUAUGAAAAGCAUUUCAAAAAUAAAAUUUUGAAUCAUAAAAUCAAAAUUAGAAAAAAUGUGUUCAUAAAAUUAUCUUAAGCAAAAAAAUUAAAUAAAGACAAAAUCUGAAAACACCUAUCUUUGAAUUAAAAAAAAAUGUUUGUCAUGCUGAAUUUAUUCAAAAUUGCAAGAUUUUCAAUUUUAAAACACAUGUUCAUAAGUGAAUCACUGUCAAAAUUUUGUGAAAUUUUAGUUUAGUGCAAUAAAUUUACUGUUAUGUUAUGUCAUGCUCUAAUCCAGUUUUAUCUCACUGUUUAUUGAAUAAGUUAUGUAUUCAUAUGAUGUAAAAUAUUAAAAUUUAUAUAUUUAUAUGAUAUUUUAUAUAAAAUUAUAUAUCAUAAUUUACGUCGAUAUGAAAAUAAAAAAUUAUUUUUUAUUUUUUAAAACAUAUAUAUAAUUAAUAAUAAAAUUUCAAAUCCUAUCACUUUUAUAUAUUUUUCAUGUUAUCGUAAUAUAUUUUAAAUUAUAAGAUUUAAUUAUAAACCUAGUAGGUACUUGAAAACAUCUAUAAACAGCAAAUUAACAUCACCAGUCAUUUCUAAUUGCAAAUCUGAUGAUUAAUUUUCCUUCAUUGAAACAUUUGGUCCAGCAUAUGAUUAUGUUGCUGUUCUACAAAACUCCCAUGCGAAUGACUUCGAAACAGUAGUUCUCCAUAAGUUUUGACCCAAUCGUCAUGACCACAAUUCCUCUUAUGAAUGCAUUUAAUUUUGAUCUUUUUCAACGGGACUUUAACCCCCCAUUUUGACAUUUUUUUUCCCAUUAAAAAAAGAACAUACCAAAAAGUUUUCAAUGAUUUGAUGAUCCCAUGCUAAAGUCCUAGUUUGUUGGCUAAUCAAAGUUUUGCCUGUGAACAAUAGAAACUUUCUCAAUCUAAAAAAGAUUACAAUCUAAAAAUUAAAAAAAAUUUAAAUUUUAAAUCGAUAAAAUAUCAUCUCGUAAAAAUGAUUACAUGAAUUAAGUUAAGCUCAAUUUUCCAUUUAUCAUGUUUUUACUUACCAAUGAAGCCGACAGUAGGGGUGUUGGUACAAUUACACGUAUGCAUAUCAACUAAAUUUGAGACAAAAUCCGUAAUAACUCUCACAAAAAUGUUGAUGAGCAAAGAAGGAUUAUGUCUAUGAUUAUUGUGCUAUGGUCCCUCUAAUAUAAAUCAGUUCUCCCAACAGCAUCAUCCUUAAAUUAGUACCGAGAAUUAUUCAAUCGAAACACGUUGCUUUUUUUUUCAUGCCUUGUUGCUUCUUCGAAUUCAAACUAUUUGAUUAUAGAUUUGAGAUCAUCUAAAGAUAGAAUGCAAUAGUGGUCUUUUGAUUUGUUCCAAUUUAAUUUUUUUCAUAUAAUCUUAAAACUACUUUCUGAUAUCACUAUCGUACAUUUAUAAAUUUAUUCUUACAAUAUUAAGAUGAUAUAUGAGAAGUAUAAAUAAAGAGAAAAGCUAGGGGGCUUUAUUGAUGCUCAUUAGCAAUGGAGGAAUGGUGAUUGGGACUGACUGGAGAGGUGGCAAGAGUGGGUGCAUGAGCAUGACAAGAACCUGAAAUGCAUGCGCGUGGGCAUAAAUACCGUUCCAUUUUAUCCUUUGUAUCAUGAAAGAUUUCUUCUGUCAAAACAAAGGAAAAGAAAAGGGAAAUUUUUUACAACAAAUCAUCAUCUUAUUCACUUCAUUAUGGCUGCAAUCAUGAUUCUUGGUUGCCUCAUCCGCAUGCCCCCCUCUCCUUCUCUCCCCUUCCACCUUCCACUCUCUCUCUCCUCUCUCUCUCCCCACAAGCCACCUAUAAAAUCUAGUAUCCCUCCCACUUCUCUCUCUCACCUGUAGUUGUUCAAACAUCCAUAAAUUAACAAGAUCUGUCUCUUUUUUCUUGUUUCCCGUUUCUGUUUUCAAGUUUCUGUCUUUGGGUGUUUGUUGUUUUGUUUUGUCAAGGUCUUAGAAAUGGCUGUUUCAGGGUUUGAAGGGUUUGAGAAGCGCCUAGAGCUCCAUUUCUUUGGAGAUGAUCCAGUGAAUAUUGACAAUAUGGGGCUUAGGCUGCUUGAUUUCGAAUCACUCGAGCAAGUUUUACAUGCUGUCCAAUGCACUGUUGUAUCAGCUGUUGGGAACCAUUUCUUUGAUGCUUACGUGUUAUCAGAAUCAAGUCUGUUUGUUUACCCUACCAAGAUCAUCAUCAAAACCUGUGGAACCACCCAACUCCUCAAAUCAAUCGGUCCAUUGAUCCAUUUUGCAAACAAUCUUGGCCUCACUAUAUGCGGGUGUAGGUACACGAGGGGCAGCUUCAUUUUCCCCAAAUCACAACCUUUCCCUCACACCAACUUCAAAGAAGAAGUCAUUUACAUUGAAGAAAACCUCCCCAACAAUCUUUGCCAUAGAAAAGCCUCCGUUUUGCCUUCGAAACUCCCUUCUUAUUCAUGGCACGUUUUCACAGCCAGUGACCAAACUCACCUGCCACAAUUUGCCUUGAAAUCCCCCGACGUUAUGUUCACUGUCGAAGUUUGCAUGACCGAACUCGACCGCUAUCUAGCACGUAAGUUCUUCAAAAAAGCUGGAGAUAGCAAAACAGGGGACUCAGCUGGCAAAGAAAUGACAGAGCUAACAGGCAUCGACAACAUCAACCCUGGCGCCUUCAUUUGCGACUUUGCAUUUGACCCCUGCGGCUACUCCAUGAAUGGCAUUGAUGGUGAUCGUUACUCAACAAUCCAUGUCACCCCUGAAGAUGGCUACAGCUACGCUAGCUUCGAGUGCGUGGGGUCCAUUUACGACGACCAAGAUGACACUGUUGAAACCCUGAAGAAAGCAGUUCAAGUUUUCAAACCAGCAACAGUUUCAGUUUCGACAACAAGCAAUAGCCAUGAAGUUUGGACAAGGGUGGCACAUGCUUUGGAGCCACUGGGACUCAAAUGCCGGAGCUGUGCAAUGGACGAGUUCCCCACCGCCGGUACCAUCGUUUUCCAAACGUUCACCGCGGCUCGCCGUAAAUAAGCCGGAGAAAGAAAACCCAAAACAAAAGGUAGAUAAAAUCAGAGAAGUAGAGAGGUUAGUUGGAGAAAAUUUUAAUUGGAGGAAAAUCAAAGGAUAAAAAUAUGAUGACGUGGAGGAAUUUUAUUGGUUGAAAAGAGUGAUGAAUGUGGUGUUGACUCAAGUAGGAAGAUAAAAAAAAAGUGUAGGGGAUUUUAUGGGAAUGACGUGGCAGAUCAAAAGGUGGGGAGGAGGAGAUGUGAGAAAUUGGAAUCACCAUGAUAAUGCACCCCACUUUGGAUUGUCACGCCUAUGAUUUUUGAGGUUAUAUGUAGUGGUGGAUUAAAAAAAAAAGUGCUCAUGUUUUUGAAGGUUUAUUUGAAAUCUUUCUCUUUCUUUCCUUCUAUUUUCUCCUUUUUUUUUUUUCUUUCCAUUCCAUUUGCUCCCUUUUCUUUUAUGUUUUAGAUGACUAAGAAAACAAAUUACACUCUUUUCUAUUCUUUUCUCUCCUUUUCAAUUGUUCUUCUAUUUCCUCUUGUUUUAUGCAUGAAAUUUUCUUUACAACAAUUAUGCAGCUCUCGUGGAAGUCACCAUAUAUAUUUUAUUAUAAUGAAGAUUUUGAUAUAGUAAUAUUUUGUCGUUUUGUCAUAUAAUUUGCACAUGAUUCAAAUUUUACUUGAGAUUAUGUUUUUUUUUUUUUUAACUUAAGACAAUCAUAUUUUGAAAUUGAUAAUUAAAAUUAAAAGUUAAAUAUUUUAUCAAUAGAAUACGUAAUUAAUAACAACUCGAGCUUAUGUUAUUUAUAUGGUAAAGAGUUGGUCGAUUUCAUAAAAAAAAUGCAAAAGAAAAGAGAAUUAGAAUGGAAACAAAACAAGUGCAAUUGCUUCUUAUGUACGAUGGAUUGAUGGUUUGUUAAAUGCGAAGAGAAUGCUAUACCUACCAAGGAAUUCGGCAAAAUAAUUGAAAAUUUCCCAUGACCAUUUUGCAAAAUACUAGCUUCUAAACUAUAACAAAUAAUAACUAUUUGAAUUGAAUUUGAUUUGAUUUUUUAAAAUAUUAUAUAAUAUUAUGAAUUUUAAAAUUUUGGCGUAAAUUCAAAUCAACUCUUUAUAUUAUUCGAACCAAAUCAAAAAUUUCUUAUUCAAUUCGAUUUAUCAAUUUUGUAAAAUUUUAACUUUUAAAUUAUAAAGGUGAUAACUAUUAGAAUUUGAUUUGAUUUGAUUUAAUUUUUUUAAUAUUGUAUAAUAUUAUGAAUUUAAAUUUUUGAUUUAAAUUCAAAUCGAACCUUCAUAUAAUUUAAAUCCAAUUCAAAUUUUCUUAUUCGAUUUGAUUUAUUGGUUUUUAAAUUUUAAAUUUUUUAUAUAUUAUUUUAAUAUAAAAAUUAAAAUAAAUUUUGAUAUAAAAUUAUUUUUUUUAUUUUAUAAAAAUUCAAAAAAUAUAUAAAUUAAUAAAAUAUAUAAUUCAAUUUAAUUCGGUUUAAUUUUUUUUCUUCUAAUCUUAUUUGAACUAACAUAUAUAUUUAAUAUUUAAAUUUAAUUUGAAUCGAAUAAAAAAUUGACCUAAAUCAAAUCACACAUUACAAUUUUAAAUCAAAAUUUGAUUUUCUUGAUUUUUAUAUCCUAAACUAUUACCAAUAGCUCUGAUGCAAUUUGAAAAAAAAAAACAAGGCCCGUGACCUUUGAGAGAUCCAAUUUUUGAACUAGGCCAACUCAAAAUAAGGUAGCAUAGCCAAUUUUUUGGUCUUAGCACUUAACAUUCGUUUGGCUGCCAUUUAACAUAGCUUGGGAUUGAGAACGAGCUAUACAUGAAAAAUAGUGAUUUUGGCUCAUUUGGUAAAAAAAAAAAAAAAAAACAAGUUUAUUUUUUUAUUGUUUAAAUUUGUUAAAAAUUAUUAAAAAAUAAUUUUUUAAUAAAUUUAUUAAAUCAACGUAAAUAAUUUAAUUGAACUAAUUCAACAAAAAUAUAUAAUAUCGGACGAAAUUCAAAAUCCCUUUACCCUUAAUUAUCUAGUAGAAAUCAAGGCAUGGUGGUUCUGAUUUUGGAGGACAUGAUUUGGGCUUAAUUCUAAAAACCCUUUUUUUCUUUCUUUCCAGACUUGGAAAGUAGGGACAACCUCCUAGAAAGAAUAUGACAAUUCAACAAUACACGAAUAACUUGAUUGCAACCUUAAGUUGAAUUUAAAUAUUAAUUUUAAUAAAAUUAAAUUAAUAUAAAUUUUUUAUUAAAAUAUUUUUAAUCAUAAUUAUAAUAAUAAUUAUUAUUAUUUUCAAUUUAUUGUAAUUAAUCUCAAAUGAAACCUUAAUAUAUAAUUUGUGAGUCAAUAGUUCAUGAUUUGGUUGGCCAAUUUAGAGUAGAUUAAGAUUUGGUUGGGCUUGCUUCUAAGUUUUAACUCGGUUUCUCUCUUGGGGCUAGUUCUUUUGUUAUGAAUACUAAAGCCCAGUUCAAAUGCCAAGUGGAUGCAAUAUUUUAUAAAUGUUUUUAUCUCAAUUUGCUGUAAUUUAUGUUCAACUGGUAGUUAAUUCAGUUCAUAUAUCAUUUUAAAAAAUAAUAUUUAAUAAAUUUAAAUUUUAAAUCUUAACAUUUAUAAUUUUUUUAUAUUUUUAUAUUACGAAUUUUUUAUAUAAAAAAAAAGUUUAAGUGAAGGUUUGAUUACAGUAACUUGUUUAUAAGGUUGGUAAUUUAACCCAUUACCGACGGGUUUUGACUCGAUUUGACCUUACGGGAUCGAUAUUUUUUUUAGUUUCGGGUUAAAUAAGAUUAUGAACAAUCGGGUUCGGAUUUUAGGCAAAUUCGACCCAACCCGAUCUGAUAUUAUAUAAAAAAUUAUUUUUUAAUUAAUUAUUUAAUUAUUUAUUUAUAUUAUAAUUUAUAUAAUGAUAUUUUUAAUAUUUAUAUUUUAAAAAUAAUAUUUAUUAAUUUCGAGUCGGAUCGGAUCGAAUACGAUUUAUAUAAUAUUGGAUCGAGAUUGAAUUCAGGUAUGAAAAAAUAAAAAAAAUUCAAAUAAUAUCAAGUUUAAGACAAACAAAACCCACCCCGAACCUGACUCGAUAUCAACUCUACUUGUUUCCUUUGAUUUCCAGACCCCGGUGAUUACAUUCCCAAGCAAGCAUUAAAUCCAGCAAUGUAGAUGAUACAAAUCAGAUAACAGAAAAGAAAUUUUUAGCUAAUGCAUGUCUUCUAAGUUUUAAAUAACUGAGAAAUGUUGAAUAAGUGUUGAGGAACACUGGAACAGCUUGGAAAACACUCUCUCAACCUAAAGCAAUGGCGAAUCCCCCUUAUGAGUUAGUGUGUUCGUAGACACCUCAAAAUUAAAAAAUAAAAAAUUUGAAGAAAAAUUUUCACUUAAUAAUUCCUAAAUUAUCCAAUGGACAUUUCAAACAUUGAAGAAUUAAAAAAUUUUAUCACUGAACAGUUCCAAAAUUUCUCAUGAACAUUAUUUACGUUGACAAAAUUAAUAAAUUUAUUGAUAAAGAAAUAAAUAUAUAUAUAAAUAAUGUAAGAUUAUGUUUUUUCUUGUGAAAAGAAUAUAUUUGUUGGUCAUAAUUUGAACUGUGACAAUAAUAAAUUAAAUAGUAAAAAUGGCUUGGAUGUAUUCGAAUUAUAAUAUAAUUAUUUCAUGUAAAUAUCUUUAAAUAGUGGUAUUUAAUAAUUUAGAAUUCAAAUUUUAAUAUUUGUAAUUUAUUUUUAUCUUUAAAUUGUAACAUUUUUUUUUUUGUAAAAAAAAAGUAUUUUAACAUAUAAAUCAAAGAAAUUUCGUUAAAUUAGAAACUAUUACAUUAGCAAGCAAUUAAAGUUUGACCAAAUUAUGAACGUAUAUGCUUAUAAGCACAAGCUAAAAUAGUUAAAUAUUAUCGUAAGAAAAAGUUUUACAUUUAGUAUAUUAUUUUUACUAAAUUUAAUAAAUAUUUAUAAAUAUAAUUUUUAAAAUAUAAUCUUAAUUACUAUAUGUUUAAAUAAAUAUUAAUAAAGAAAAGGAAAAAAAUAAAAGAAAUGAAGGGUUUUUAAAGUAAUGGAAAUUAAUGGUUUUUAAAGUAAAGAAAUAUAUAAUAAUUUAUGUCUUCGUAUCGUAUAAAAUGUUGAUAAUUUAUAUAUUAGUGUUAUCAUAACAAUUUUUUGUUCGGAGGACUCGAGCACUAGAUUUAAUGAAAAUUUUCAAAAUUAUCAUCAAUCUUUUUUGUAAGAGUGUUAUUGGUCUUCCAAAAGAUCAUUUUCGAAUAAAAAAAUCUCAAAAUUAACUGAGAGUUACUAAAAAAUGUUUUGGUCUACGAAAUCAAGAAUGGAUUUGGAGUAUGAUUAGAAGUAGAAAAAGUGUUAAUACCCCUUACAUCACUUUAUCAAAAAAUAAUUCCAAUUAAAUAUGUGUUUUUCAAUUACUUUAAUAAUAUGUUUUUUUUUUAAUAUUUAAAGUUGAUUCCUUUAAAAAUUUCUUUAAGAAAAACAUUUUUUUGUGAAAUUAUUAUUAUUAUUCUCAUUUCCUAUGAAUUCUUUAGCACUCUAGCAGAAUCUAUAGAACAGAUCUUUGUUCAAAAAAUUUUCAAGAAAAUUGAUAAUUCUCAAAAUUUUUAAAAUUUCAUCAUAAGAUAUUUUAUUUAUUUAUUAGAGUUGAUUUAGAAUUAGUUCAACUCUUUUGAUGAAAUCUAGAAAUCAUUUCUUAAACUAAUUUUAGGAUUAUCCCAAUUCUUUAAUAAAAUCUUUAAAAAAAAUUUAAACUAAUUUUGGAUCAUCCAACUUUUUAACGAAAUCUUAAAAAUUUUUAAAUUAAUUUCAAGAUUAUCCCAACUCUUUGAUGAAAUCCAAAAAUCAUUUCUCUUAUUGAUUUUAAGAUCAUCCCAACACUCUAGCAAAAUUCAAAAAAUCAUUUCUCAAAUUGAUUUUAGAAUUAUCCUAAAUUUAUGACAAAAUCUUAAAAAAAUCAUUUCUCUUGAUAAUAAUUAAGAAAAAUGAGACUCUUUCAAAAAAAAUUUUAAAUUACUACUAAAGAAUUUAAUUAAACAUUUUAAUUUUUUUGGUUAUUUUGUUAUUAUUUUUUAUUUAUUAUUUCAUUAUUAUUUUUUUUAUUUAAAAUAAAUCUUAUUUAGUAAAAAUAACUUUUUAGAUUAUCCAACUCUUUUGGUGAAAUCCAAAGUAUUUUUACUUGCAUUAAUUAAAGAAAAUUGAAUCCUUUCAAUUUUCUUUAAAAAUUACAUUUUAAAAGAGUUAUUCAAAUAAUCAAUUAUUUUUUCAUUUUUAUUUUUGUAGCAAAAAUAAUUUCUUAAAUCAUCCCAACACUUUAGCAAAAUUCAAAUAACAUUAUUGUUUAUAAAAUUAAGGCAAAAUAGAACUCUUUCCAUUUUCCUUAAUAACUAUUUUUUAUUUAAUAUUUUUUAUUUUAGAUUAAGAACAAUUAUUUAUUCUUGAUUUUGUAUUUUUUAUUAAAAUUAUUACUCAUUAUAAUUAUUUAUUAUUUUUUGUGUAAGUUAAAAAAAUACAUAUAUAUUUAUGAAAUAAAUUCUAACAAAAAAUAACAAAAUCAAAUCAAAAAUAAAAAUAAAAAUAGAAUGGAAAAAAAAAAGAGAAAAUAUUACCAAACGGAUCAGGUCAGACAUGCAAGUCAAUGCACAAGUUAAAACCAAGUCAGGUGUGAACUUUUUAAUUUCAAAAUGAUGUCGUUUUAGGUCUCUACAAAAGGCCCAUAGUUAGAGGAGUUUUUAAAGUAUCAUAACCUCUUGUUAGAUAAGUUUUUUUUAAUUUUGAGAGCCUCUGGAUAGAUGACUUUUUCAAAAUUAGGCAUGAUUUGUAAAAUCAAAAGAUAUAAUCUAUAAGACCUCUUAGAUUUUUAAUUUUAAGUAUCAUUAUCUCUGGUUAGUUGAGUUAUUUCAAGUUUUAUAGCCUCUGGUUAGAAAUUUUUUUUCAAAGUUUCAUAAUUUCUAGUUACAAGAGUUUUUCAAAGUUUCAUAUCCUCUGGUUAUAAGAGUUUUUAAAUUUUAAAAACCUUUGGAUAAAGAACUUUUUUGAAAUUAGACAUGAUUUGUACGACUAAUGGGCAUAAUCUAUAAAUCCUUUCAAAAUUUAUUUUUUCAAGUGCCAUGGCCUCUAAUUAAAAGAGCUAUUUAAAGUGUCAUAGCCUAUGGUUAGAGGAGGUUCUUAUAAUGCCAUAGUUAUUGGUUAGAGGAGUUUUUUUAAAAAGCGUUAAAGCCUCUGAUUAAAGGAUUUUUUUAAAAUCUAUUUGCCUCUAGUUAAAAAUGUUUUUCAAGAUCAGGUUGGAUUUAUAAAAUGUUUGGGAUAUAAUCUGUAGGACCUUUGAAAAUUUAAAUUUAAAGUGGUAAAAGCAUCUGGUUAGAGGAGCUUUUAAACAAAAAUCAAAUUAUUUUCAGUCGAUGGUAAAAAUAAAAAUAUGUGGUGUGCUUUUGUGUUUUCCUUAUUUCUUUCUUAAAAAAAAAAAAACAAAAAUACAAACAAAAAAAAGAAAAAGUAUUGGUUUUUGUAACAUCAUGUUCAUCUAGACAAAUUUGUUGUUUUUUAGUUUUUGCCCAAUUCCUAAUUGUCAGAAAUGUGGAAAGAAGGGCAACUAUAAAUACUUAAUUUUAUUUAGGUUUAUCAAAAUGGAUCCAAAUGGAAUUUAUAAGUUUUAUGUGUCUAAUUUAAACUUAUUCGAUUUAUUAGUGGAUACAGUUAUUCUUAUUAUUUUAUUAAAUAUUUUUAAAGUAAAAAAAAAAAGAGUUAUAAAUUUUUACAAGAGGUAAGAAACUAUGGGAGCAAAAGUUUAAGCUUUAUUCCAUUUUUCUUAGUCACCACCUAAUCAAUUGAAAAAAUGAAUUAUAAUCCCUAGAUUUAAAGGAUUUGAUUAGUGUUAGAGUUAACAAUUUGCUACAAAAGACCUAAAUUUCAAUCGAAACAGAAAAUCGAUUAAUGGUUUUAAAGAAAAACACCACUAACUUUAGAAAUUAAGGAUUUGAAUCCCUGAAGAUCUGGAUAAACUCGACAAAUCAAGGGCCAAUAGAGAGAGUUUUAAGGGGAAAAUUUCAUAAAAAAAAAAAAUUUGACAAGAAAUCUACUGCCAUUCUGCAAAAUCACACACCCACAAAGAAAUCAAAAUACCAACACCCAAAGUUAUCUUAUCCUUUUAUGAGGAAUGACAGUAAAAAAAUUAUUUCAAAGACAAAAGAAAAAACCAUUCUGUCUAGAUCAAUCCAACCCAAAAUCACACUAAAAAAAAAAAUCAUCAUCCACCUCCCUUAAAGGGAACCGGGAAAAAAAAUUAAAAAAAAAAAGAAUCGAAAGCAAAAUCUUUGAUUUAGGUUGUUUGAAUUUUUUUUUUUUUGAAAAAACUAGUUUUAAAAAAGUAUUUGGGAGACAAAAAAGAUCAAUUUGAGAUUUUUUUUAAAAAUUUUUGCUUUACCAAAAUUUUAAAAAAUACGAAUUUUUCGACAACCAUUUGAAUUUUUCGACCAAUGGAAAUUGAAAAACAUCCGACAACUAUAAAUUUCUUGAAUUUUUUAAAGUCGAUUAAAGUUUUCAAUGAUGGCAUGGAGGCUACCCUCCAAAAACUGGGAUUACAUGAUGGUCGGUGAACGAAAAAGAACUAAAGAAGGGUUUGAUGGAAGAGAGAAAGGGAUAAGAAAAAUAAUAAUAAAAAAAAAGAUUAGGCUUUGAUUUUCAAACCUUCUCUCUGUUUUUUUUUUCAUUUUANNNNNNNNNNNNNNNNNNNNNNNNNNNNNNNNNNNNNNNNNNNNNNNNNNNNNNNNNNNNNNNNNNNNNNNNNNNNNNNNNNNNNNNNNNNNNNNNNNNNNNNNNNNNNNNNNNNNNNNNNNNNNNNNNNNNNNNNNNNNNNNNNNNNNNNNNNNNNNNNNNNNNNNNNNNNNNNNNNNNNNNNNNNNNNNNNNNNNNNNNNNNNNNNNNNNNNNNNNNNNNNNNNNNNNNNNNNNNNNNNNNNNNNNNNNNNNNNNNNNNNNNNNNNNNNNNNNNNNNNNNNNNNNNNNNNNNNNNNNNNNNNNNNNNNNNNNNNNNNNNNNNNNNNNNNNNNNNNNNNNNNNNNNNNNNNNNNNNNNNNNNNNNNNNNNNNNNNNNNNNNNNNNNNNNNNNNNNNNNNNNNNNNNNNNNNNNNNNNNNNNNNNNNNNNNNNNNNNNNNNNNNNNNNNNNNNNNNNNNNNNNNNNNNNNNNNNNNNNNNNNNNNNNNNNNNNNNNNNNNNNNNNNNNNNNNNNNNNNNNNNNNNNNNNNNNNNNNNNNNNNNNNNNNNNNNNNNNNNNNNNNNNNNNNNNNNNNNNNNNNNNNNNNNNNNNNNNNNNNNNNNNNNNNNNNNNNNNNNNNNNNNNNNNNNNNNNNNNNNNNNNNNNNNNNNNNNNNNNNNNNNNNNNNNNNNNNNNNNNNNNNNNNNNNNNNNNNNNNNNNNNNNNNNNNNNNNNNNNNNNNNNNNNNNNNNNNNNNNNNNNNNNNNNNNNNNNNNNNNNNNNNNNNNNNNNNNNNNNNNNNNNNNNNNNNNNNNNNNNNNNNNNNNNNNNNNNNNNNNNNNNNNNNNNNNNNNNNNNNNNNNNNNNNNNNNNNNNNNNNNNNNNNNNNNNNNNNNNNNNNNNNNNNNNNNNNNNNNNNNNNNNNNNNNNNNNNNNNNNNNNNNNNNNNNNNNNNNNNNNNNNNNNNNNNNNNNNNNNNNNNNNNNNNNNNNNNNNNNNNNNNNNNNNNNNNNNNNNNNNAACUAUCACUAAAAUAGUCUUAUCACAUGUUGUGACUUAUCUGUAAUUUAAAUAACUUUAGAAAAAUUUAAAAGAAUAAAGUAUUCGUAACCAAAAUCAAAUAUCUACGUUUUGCCCUUACAUGAGAAUUUUUAAUAUAAGAAGCUCUCAUGCACUAGUUUAAUGAAAGAAUAAAAGUAAAAAUAUAUAUGAAAAUAAAAUAUAUUUGUUCUUGUAAUUUAAAGAUGUAUAAUAUAAGUUUCAUGAAAAGAAAAAAUUAUAUAUGAAUACAUAUUUAUUGUGACUGUAUAUGUGCGGAUUCAUUACUCUUUGUAUGAAAAUUAUUUGAUGUAAAUCAAAGAAUGUUCUAUGCAUAGAAUAAACAAAUUUUAAUAUUGUAAAUUAAAGAGUUACUGAUUAGACAAGUGAUGUAUGAAAGUGUAAGUCAUAACGUUAAUAUUUCUCUAAAAAGGGAACAAGUAAUGAAAGUGUUCUAAAGAAAAUAGGAGAACAAGUAGUGGUAAUGUUUCUUUAAAAAAAAAAGAGAGAAUAAGCAAUAAAAAUGUUUCUCUACAAAAUAGAAGAAUAAGUAAUGAGAGUGUUUCUUUAAAAAAAAAGAGAAAUUAAAAGAAAUAGGUAAUAUAAGUGUUUCCCUAAAAAUAUAGAAUAAGUAAUGUGAAUGUUUUCCUAAAAAAUAGAAAAUAAUGAAUGGAACAAUUAAAAAGAAUAUUUCUAAAAAAAUUCAAUGAAACAAUUAAUGGGAUUGUUUCCUUUAUAAAUAUGCAUGACUUCAAUAAUUAACAAUAAAAUUGUCUUUCUCGUAAGAAAAAAAAAAGUAAAAGGAGUAAUGUAUAUAAUUUUUGUAUUUCUAGAAAUGAGAAAAAAAAAAGUAAAGUAUAUAAUUUAAUUUUUUUUUUUUAGGAAUCACUUGUUUUUAUAUGGAAGUAAAGUUUGUAAGUUUAAAGUUCAUGCAACCUAUAAACAAAAUUUUUACCGAUGAUAUGAUGUUAAAAAUUUUGUAAAAUUAGUAGAUUAAAGUUUUUCAACUUGCGAUGUGUCUUUGUAGAACCUAUAAUCGAGCCAACAUUCUUUUAAAGAUUUAAUUGUGCCCUAUAAUAGUAUUCUAUGUUUAGCUAAAUGAAAAAAAUUAAUUGCAAUAUAGUAAAAUUUUGUAUAGAAUAUCUAGAGUAUUAAAAUCUUUUGAGAAUAAAAUUUAAUGAAAUUUUAAAAAUAAAAUUAAAGAUUUUGAAAUUUUAUUAAAGAAUUUUUUAAAUAAGAAAAAUAAAUAUUUGUUAUUAAAGAAAUUGAUUCUAUGGAUUCUAUAAAUAUAAGAAUUAUAUACAUGAUUAACACGAAUAUAUACAAGAAACUGACUAAAAUAAUAAAUAAUUAUAAACUAUUUAUCAUUUACAACUUAAUAAAUUUGACAUAUUAUAAUAUAAAAAAUAUUUAUUAAAAAAAUUUAUACUCAAUUAAUAUGUAUUUAAUAUAUAUAUUUUAAUUUAUAUUACAUAACUAUAUUAAUUUUUAGUAUCAAAUUCAAUAUUAUAAACUAUUAAAGAUUAAAGAAUAAAAUAAUAAUGUAUAGGAUUACUAUUAAUGUUAAUAUUGUAUUUAUAUUAUUAAUAUAAAAAUAAUUUUAUAACAAUUAUUAAAUGAGUAUCAUAAUUAAAUAUUUAAAAUAAUUUUUAUAUGAUAUUAAAUAGCUAAUUAAGUAUUAUAAUUAAAAGAUUAAAAUUAAAAUAAUUUUUAUAUGUUUAUAUUAAAUUAAAAUAAAAUUAAACGUGUAAACAUGUUAAACGUUUACUCGUAUGAUAAGAUUAAAUUAAACGUAUUAUUUAUGUUGUAUCACGUAUUUAAACGAGUUAAUACUUAUAUGACACAAAUUCUGUUGUGUCAAAAUUUAUGUCGACACAAAUAAAUAUGAAACAUGUUUUUUUAAAACACAUAUCCAAUUUUUUUCGUAUCAUUUUCGUGUCGUAUUAUCAUAUCGUAUCUGAAAUUAUUAAGUUUAAAUAUUUGUUUACUUCAUUUUUAUCUUUUUAAUUAAUUCUUAUUUAUUUUUAUACUUAAUUUAAAAUUAUUAAUUUCAUCUAUAAAUUUAAUUAAAAACUAUAUUUAUCACCCUUAAAUUAAGCAAUGAAAAUUUUCAACAAAUUUUAAAUAGCGAUGAGGAUUUUUUUCCCCAAUAUCAAUCUCACAGUCACUGUACCUGUCCAGAGAUUUAUUUUCGUCUAUAGGAAUUAAUUCAAAAUCAACCAAUAAGGAAUUGCUAAUUGCUUAGGUGUCGUUCGCUAACGUUUUCGUUUUCUAUUUUUUGUUUUCGGUUUCAUUUUUGUUUUAAAAUUGAAAACAAAAACAUAUUUGGAAGGUUUUUUUUAUUUUUUAUUUUUAAAAAUUGAAAAUAAAGUUUUAGAAAAUUUUAAAAUUUGCUGAUAACAGAAAAAUGGUGUUUUCAGUUUUUUGGAAAUAAUUUGGCAUUGUUACCAUAUGGGUGCUGUUCAUAGAAAUUACAAUUAAACCAUUACAGUAACGUUAUAAUUAUUAUAUUAAUAAAAUAAUAUUUUUAUUAUAUAAAUAUUAAAUUAAUAAAUAUUAUUAUAUUUAUUAUAUAAAUAAUUUAUAUUAAUAAAUAACAUUAUAAUAUAUUAAUAAAUAAUAUUAAUAAUAACUAUUAUUUUAUUUAUAUUAUUAAUAACAAACGGAGUCUAAAAAUUUUAAUCACUUUCUCUUAUUUUUUUGUUUUCACAUUUCUAAAACAAAAACAUUUUAUUCAAACAUAUUUUCAAAUUCAAUAAAUUAAAAAUAAAAUGAAAAUCAAACAAAACAAAAUUUUCAAAAACAUAAAAUAUUAUAAUAUAUAAUAAUACCAAACGACCCCUUAAUUAUCCCAAAUUAUUGUCGUUAGAAAGGAUAAAUGUUGAAAUUGCCUUUUUAUGUAAAGAGAAUUAAAGACUCCAAAUUAGGUUUUAUUUGUAUUUUAACUUGAAAAAUCAUGUCAUUUAACCACUUUUAUACGUAAAAAAAAAAAAAAACUCUUGAAAAAGUCAAGGUAUCAAAUGGGUAAUUUGUCCAUAACAACUACACUCAUAUAUAUAAACGAGUUUAAAAGGACAAGAAAAAUUAGAUAAAGACUGCAUUUUAAAUUAGAGAAAGACUGUGUGAAAGAGUUUAAAAGAAAAGAUAAAAAAUUAAAAAAAAAAUUACCUAACUCUUGCCUUUUUAUGCUGUUUAUAUUAGGCAAUAGAAACCAUUUCCAUGUUAACAUAAAAUAAAAGUUUUAAACAUUUUUUUCUUCUAAAAAAGGUCUAAAUUAAAUUAACAAUUCUUUAAAUAGUAAUAUAUAUGGUCUGAUAUCUUUCCAUAUUCUGAAAAUUUUGGUCAAUAUCAGCCCCAUAAUCACUGUAUCAGUCCCUUGAUUUUAGCAGGGAAAAUGCUAAUAAUUAAUAUCUUUCUAAUUUCAAUUACUACAUGCAAAAAUAUUUAUACACCUCCAAAACCUCCAAGGCUAACUCAUACACUCAAGCAUUUCCUAGCCAUUGCAUAAGAUUUUUGUUACUAAACCCUAGUAAAAAUGGCCAAAUUUUCUCUCACCCAUUUUGUCAUACUUGCCCUCCUUUUCACUGGUUUGUUUUCUUUAACCCUUUAACUCAUAUUUGAUAGCUUUUCAAAAACAUUUGUCAAUGUUGUUUUGUUUACCAUGAAAAACAAAUUACACUAACAUUUAAGUAAUUAAAUCAACAAUGGAUGCAUAUAUGGGCCGUAUUUAAAGAUUUGAGUUCAAAUCCUGAUGGGUUUUUUUUUUUUCUCUUACAUUGAAGGGUUUGAAAGUUAAUUUGUUUGUUUGAUUUUUAUUUUUGCAGUUGUUUCAGUGGUUGAUGCACAACAAAGAUGCCAAGAGGUGUUGGAUCCAAACAAUUGUGAACUUUCGAAUUGUAGACAGAAGUGUCUCGAAAAGCAUAAUUCAAAUUCAGGGCAAUGUCUCAUAAGUGGAGGCACUCCUCUUGAUCCAACUUUCAAGUGUGUGUGCAUUUAUGACUGUGGUUUUUAAUAUUAUUUCUCCUUUUAGUAUGAUGUAUUUCUAUGCAAGGAGACAAUUCAAUAAAAGUUGAUAAAGGUGAAUCAUUUUCAUUUUUAUGUUAUUUAUGACAGCUUAGAUAUAAAAAUCAAUCCAAAAACAUUUUUAAAAAAAGAGAUCAUUCAAAAAAAAUAUUUAGGUUUAAGUAAUUUUUUUAUAUAAAAUAAUUACAACCUAAAGAUAGAUAUUAGAAUUUUUUACUCAAAGUUAUCAGAAUUUGAAUAUCUAAACACUUUAUAAGUGAAAUGAAUGUUGGCCCUGUGUUGACCAACUUGAAUCUAUAGAUUAUGGAACAUGUUCAUCUCGAACGAACUCAAUCACCUACAUAUAUAUUUGGGUUCGUUAGUUCAAUCUAAAUACUAAUGAAAAGUAUAAUUCAUAAUAAUAUUCGAACUCGUCCGAUUUUGACUUGACCCAAUCUUAUAAGGUGCCUUUUUUUCUCCACUCAAAGCAGCUUGUAAGUAGGAUUUUUGUCCUCCUACCACCCCCUAUCCCCCGUUAAACCUCUCCCCAACUCCUUUUGCAACCGACCAUGAAGGUUUCUCUCCCGCCCUUGUCUGCUGUCCCACACUCUACUCUUCUCACGUUCCUCAUUCGUCAUAACUCUGUUCGAAAAUGUCGAUCUUGCAUUGAAUCUGGCCAUUUAACCCCAAUCUUGUAAUCCUUAAUCCACGAUCCAUUCAAAUUGUACAACUCCUUCUUUGCGUUUACAAGUUUCUCAAAACGUACAAACCCGUAUUUCCUGCCUCUUGCACUCAUUUUUGUGCAAUGAAGACAUCCAUUACCUUUCCAUACUCCCGAAACCUUUGUGACAGCCAUCUCCAAUGAGUUUAUGGAGGAAUAUUAUUUACAAAUAUUGCGAAAAUUGUUAUUUUUAAGAGCAAAACUAUUUCCUGUGGUUGCUGAGGUUGAAAGUGAUUUUAUCAAUUUUUGAUAAGAGAGUUUUGUUCUCUUAGUGAAGCAACUUUUGAUACAAGAAUUUUUGGUAAAAGGUGUUGGUCUUGUUCCUUGAGGAAGUUGUUUCGAGAAUAAUUAUUUCGUGAAAGUAUUAUUCCGUGAAAGAAUUGGUUCUUAAAUAAUUAUUCCUUUAAAUAGUUAUUUUUGUAAAAAAGUUGUUUCAUGAACAAUUAUUCCAUAAAAAUAACUUUCACUAAAAUAAUCUUAUCAACUGUUCUGACUUAUCCUCAAUUUUAAUAACUUUAAAGAAAUUUAAAAGAAAAAAGCAUUAAUAACCAAAUCAAGUAUCUAUAUUUUGCCACCUAUACGAGAUUCUUAGUAUAAGAAGUUCUCAUACUCUAGCAUAAUGAAAGAAUAAAAGUAAAAGGUAAAUGAAAAUAAAAUAUAUUUGUUCUUAUAAUUUAAGAUGUAUGAUCCAAAUUUCAUGAAAAGAAAAAAAAUUAUAUAUAUAUAUAUUGUGACUGUAAAUGUGAGGAUUCAUUACCCUUUUAUAUGAAAUUUGUUUGAUGUAAAUCAAAUAACGUUCCAUACAUAAAAUAAGUAAAUUUUAAUGUUGUAAAUCAAAGAGUUACUUGUUAGAUAGGUGAUUUAUGAAAGUGUAAGCUAUAACAUUAGUGUUUCUCUAAAAAAAAAAAUGAAAGUGUUUUCUAGAGAAAAUAAGAGAAUAAGUAGCUGGAGUGUUUCUCUUUAAAAAAAAAUAGAAGAAUAAGUAGUAAAAGUGUUUACCUAAAAAAAUAGGAGAACAAGUAAUGAGAGUAGUUCUCUAAAAAAUAUGAGGAAUUAAAAGAAAUAGAUGAUGGGAGUGUAAGAGAAUAAGUAAUGAGAAUGCUUCCCAAAAAACAUAAAAGAAUAAUUAAAUGAAACAAUUAAAGAGAAUAUUUCUAAAAAAAAAAAAAUCAAUGAAACAAUUAAUGAGACUAUUUCCUUUAAAAAAUAUGCAUGAGUUCAAUAAUUAACAAUAAAAUUGUCUUUCUCGUAAAAAAAAUAAAUAAAAGGAGUAAUGUAUAUAAUUUUUUUAAUUUCUAGAAACAAGAAAAAAAAAGUAAAUUAUGUAAUUUAAAUUUUUUAUUAGGAAUCACUUCUUUUUAUAUGAAAGUAGAGUUUGAAAGUUUGUAGUUCAUGCCACCUACAAAAUAAAAAGUUUUUACCAAUGAUGUAAUGUUCUUAAAAUAAUUGUUAAAAUUAGUAGAUUGAGGUUUUUCAACCCGUGAUGUGUCUUUGUAAAACCUAUAAUCGGGCCAAUUUUCUUUCAAAGAUUUAAUUGUGCCCUUCAAUAGUGUUUUGUGUUUACCUAAAUGAAGAACAUUAAUUGCAAUAGAGUAAAAUUUUGUAUAGGAUAUCAAGAAUAUUAAAAUCUUUUAAAAAUAAAAUUAAAAAUUUUGAGAUUUUAUUAGAGAUAUUUUAAAAAAUAAAUAAAUAUUCAUUAUUAAAGAAAUUGAUUCUCUUGACCCUAUAAAUAUAAGAAUUAUAUUAUGAGGAUUUUCAAGUCAAAGUUAAGUGAAAGUCCAAUUUUUUUUUCUUUUGUAUUUGAAAUGUUAGGAUAUUGAUCUUAAUUAUUGAAUUUAAGAAUUUAAUAUUACUAAUAGACAAAUAGAGAAGCUAGAAAAUCUUGCUUUGGAAAAUGAUAAACUUAGACAUGAUUAUUGUAAAAGUAAAAAUAGCAUAUGAAAUAUAACUUCUACUAAUGAAUAUAAGUUUCACAAAAGAAAUUUAUAAAUCUCCUUUGUUGUCCUAUUUAUCCUCUUGCCAUUGUUCAUGACAAAUUAGACAAUCUUGGGGGAGGAGUAGAUUUUUAUUUUUUUUAGAGAUGAAACAGGCUGGUUUUUUCUUUUUAAUUUUUUUUUAUAUAAAGGUUCACCAAAGGCAUUCUCUCUUUACUCUAUUCAUUUAUUCAUUUACUUUGUUUUUUCAUGUAGUAAAAAAAUUAACGUAAGCGUCAAAGCAUGCGUUAAAACAUCAAUGUUGAUUUAGUGCCCAUUUGGAUUCAACCGUAUUUUUAAUGCGGUAUGAUUGAAUUCAUCACAUUACCGGUUGAAUUUAAAUGUUAACUCUAAUAAGAUUCAUUUAGCAUAAAUUUUUCAUUGAAAUUAUUUUUAAUCACAGUUACAUUAAUUUUUUUAACGAACAAUAUGAGACAACGAAAUGGGUAAUUUAUCCAUAACAACUAAAUAUUUAAAAGGGGUAAAUCUUGGUUUUUCUCAUCGCAAUGAAACUAAAAAGUCAGAAAAAAACUAUGCCCUGGUUUUCUUUAUAAAUUUUUUUUUUCUUUUGUUAUACGGAGAAGACUACACAUGUAGUAUUUAAGUUUAGAUUUAUAAAUAAAAUUGCAUACUCAAAUCUGUUCAAUUUAUAUAUAUAUAUAUAUAUAUAUCUUAUAAAUUAAUUUAUUUCAAGUGUACUCUUUUAGCAUGUGUAUAUCAAAUUAAAUUUUGUAAACAUAUCCCAAUGAAAUCCAUCUUUCUUUGAGGUAGUGAUAAAGUUGGAAAUUAACUUGCAUCAUAAAACUAAUGAUGGUUUAAUUUAUGAAAAGCCAAAAAAAAAAAAAACCCUAAUAAAUAGUAAUCGAUGAAAGAGUAAAAGUUAAAGGAUGUUAUGACUUAUAAACUCAUAACUCACAGUGCACUUAUUGGCAGGCAAUUAAGUAUUGACAUAAUAUCAUGUUUUAUUUGGAGAGAUGAAAUGAAAGAGAGUGAGUGAGAAUAGAGGCCAAAGUAUUGACGUAAUAAUAUUAUAUAAAAUAUUCCAUGACAGCAGAUAUAUUAUAUAUAUAUGGGGCUAAAAAUUUAAGGAGAAUUAUUUAUGUUGCAUAAAUGCCCAAGAUUAAUAUAAGUUGUUAUUUAUUACUUUUGUUUAAAUUAUAUAAAUAAAAAUAUUACCAAAAAAUAUAUAUUUUAAAAAAUCUUUAGGGAUCUUUGGUUGAUACUCAAAGUUAAAAAAAAAAAUAUCAUGCCAUAUAUCACGAAAGAUGACUUCAUUUAACAACGAUUGUUAGAAAUUAACAAUAUCAUGACUUGGGAUACAUAUCAUGUAUAAAUUUUUUUAAUUUUUAUAUAUAUGUAAAUUAAGUAUAAUCUCAUUAAACUUAAUCUAAUUGCUUUUUUUAUUUUUUAUUAUAUAAAUUAAAUUUAAUAUGUGAAUUUGUGAUUUAUUUUUUUAAUUUGGGUUAUAUUUAAAAAAAAUUUGAGAUUUAAAAUUUCAGAUCGAAUCGAACCUAAACAAACAUAUAAACUAUUAAUAUUAACUAUGAGUUUAACCCAAAAUUUGUCUAAUUCAACUCAUGAACACCUCUAUCUUCGAGUACUAUUGAAAGUUUUAACUAAAGCAAACCAACUGUCAGCCUUAAUCCUCUUCUUAGAUCAUCUAAACAAGCCAUCCAAUUUUUCAAACAUUUUUGCAGCUUAUCAACUCAAGUUGAUUAAGCAAUAAAGCAUGAUAUAGCACAAACUCGUACGUCUUAAACUCAAUUCCUUAUCUCAAAUGCCUACAUUCAAAUGGUAUGUACGAUGCAUGAAUCUAGUAUAAUGAAUUUUAUUUUAUUUAAAAAUUUCUUGUAAUUCAAAAAAAAAAUGGAGUAACCAAUGAAGUAAUUACUAAUAAUAUAAAUUUUGCCCAUUAUAUUAUUUGUCUCGAUCCCAAAUUUUUGUGACGCGAAUUAAAUUUAUCUCCAUCGAUGUAAAUUAAGCACAAUAUGAAUUAUCUUGUGAAAUUAACAUGAGGUUUUAGUACAAAAGGUUGUGUUAUAUGACAAUUUUUUUUCAAUUUUCCAUAUUCUUGGAUGUAGUUAUCAUGCCUUACUUUUCAUGAUAGUUUCCUUUGUUUUAGAACCAAAUGAUACCUUUGACAAAUUAAAAUCCUCCCUUGUUAGGAAUUUUAAUACAGUAUCUUUCUCAAUUUGGAUAAAAAUUUUUGUUCAAUGUUUUUGGCAUAGCCUUUUCUAAGUUUCCCUUCUAUCGUCCUCUUCUAUGGAGAAAUUUGGUGCCAAACAAGUUCAUAUCGACACCAUCACCCACCUUUACGCCUCAAGCAAGGUGGAAUUGAUAUUAAUAUAAUAUUUAAGAGACCAAAUGGGUAAUUUAUCCAUAACAACUAAACUCGUAUAAUUGAGUUUAAAAGGAAAAGAAAAAGUUUUUGUAAUAGAAACAAUAAAUAUCAAUCUAAUAAGUUUCCAUCUUAACAUAAAAGUAAAAGAAGCUUGUCCCGGAUUAGUUAAGAAUGAUAACGAAAUGGAUAUUCAUUAUUUUUAAAAUAUUCGUAUCCGAAUUCGUUUAAUAUUUAUAAUAUUUAAAUUUGUUUAAAUAUUUGUUUAAUUUAAUAUUAUUAUUUAAAUUCGAAUCUAUUUAAAUAAAUACUAUUUGUUUAAAUAUUUGAAAUUUUAAAAUAUUUAUUUAUUUAAAAUUUUUAUCAAAAUAUAAAAUAAACAAAAAUAUAACUUAAAAUUCAAGUUCAGUCUUAAUUAAUAAUAAAUAAAAAUUAUUUUUUAAAGUAUAAAACUUUAUACAAAUAUAUAAUUUUAGAUAUUUUAGAUAUGUAAAUAAGUAAUGAAUUCAUAUCCGAAUUCGAAUAUUCAUUAUUAUUCAUUGAAACUUAAAUGGAUUCGAGUAUUGAAUAUCAAAAGAAUACUAUUUAUAUUCACUCUGAAUCUAUCACGAAUAAUAAAUAUCUUAUUCAAAUCUAUUAAUUAUCUAUUUAUAACUAUUCGAAUCCACUGUAAAUGGAUUGAAUAAUAAUUGAUAUUUAUUUAUUUACGAUUUAUUACCAUCCUUAGUAUUAACAUUUUUUUAUUUCAAAAAAAGACUCAAAUUAUCUUCAAAAACAUGUUCAAAUUAAAUUAACUAAAAUAUGUAAAUAAUAAUAUCUAUAGUCUGAUAUCUUUCCAUAUAUUGAAAACUUCGGUUAAUUCAGUUCUAACAACAUUUGUCGAUGUUGUUUUGUUUACUAUAAAAAACAAAUCACACUAACGUUUAAGUAAUUAACUCAACAAUGCUUAUAUGGACCGUAUUUACAGAUCCCGGUUCAAAUUCUGACAGUUUUUUUUUUUUUAACAUUGGGAGUUUGAAAGUUAAUUUGUUUGUUUGAUUUUUUUAUUCUUGCAGUUGUUUCAAUGGUUGAUGCACACAAAGAUGUCAACAGAUGUUGGAUCCAAACAAUUGUGAACUUUCGGAUUGUAGACAGAAGUGUUUCCACUAGCCUUAAUUUAUAUAAUAAAUUUUUUUUUUAAAUCCAACUCAAAUUAAAAAUAUAUAUCCUUAACCCACCCACUUACCUUAAUUUAUAUAAUAAAAAUUUUAAAAAAUAUGAUUAAAUUAAGUAUAAAUUAAAUUAAGUUGAAUUAUAUUUAAUUCACAUAUACAUAAAAAUUAAAAAUAAAUAUUAUAUAUGUAAAAAUUAAAAAUAAAAUUUUAAUUUAAUAAAAAAUAUAUAAUUUUUAAUUUUAAUUUUUUUAUAUAUACGAAUUAAUUUAUAUAUAAUUUACAUAUAUAUAAAUAAAAAUUUUAUAUAUACGUAAAUUCGAAUCUAAACAAAUCAAACUUAAAUUUUAAAUUUUUUGUUUAAGACCUAACUUGAAAUUUAAAUGAGUUUAAAAAUUAUGUCCAAAUCUAUUUAAUGAGCUUCAAUUUUUUAUCUCUCAAAACUUGAAUGGAUAUUUAGACUUAAAUAAAUAACUUAAUCCUUAAUUAAAUCUAUUAUAAAUAAAUGUUGGGAUUUUUUACUCGAGAUUAUCAAAAUUUAAAAUUUUAAACACACUAGGUCAAGCGAUUGUAGGCCCUAAUAUUGUUAGUCAAUUUAUUUACAUAAUAUGAAAGUCAAUAAGAUGUCGUAAAAAAGUCUAAUCAAUGUUACAUUAUUAAUUAUCAGUCAAUAUUAAAAGAAAUUUUAUAAAAAAAAAUCUAAAAAAUUUUCAAAAUUGUUUAAAAAAUCUGAAAUAUUAAAAAAAUUAAAAAAUAUAUAUAAUAUUUUUAAAAAUUAUAAAAAUAUCAAAACUUAAAAAAUUCAAAAAAAUCUCAAAUUUAAAAAAAAAAUUCAAAAAAAUUUAUGACAAAUUAAAAAAACUGAAAAUUUUAAUAAAAAUAAAAACACAAGACAAUGUUUCAAGAUACAAACAAAUCCCAACCCUAAACCAGAACAAGAAUUGCAAAGACAAUGGGAAUUUUAGCAAGAAAAAAAAAAUGCUGUAUAUAUGCUUAUAACUAGACUCGUAUAAUGAUAUAUUAAAAUGCGUUAAAAAAUGAUUUUGUUUAUGAUUGUUGAUCUAUGAUUCUGGCCUCAAGCAUGAGCUAUAAAAUAGUCAAGCAUGAACCAGAACAAGCAAUCCUUUUGGGCUAAAGACAAGAAAGAAAAGAUGCCAUGCACGAACCUUAAGCUUGCUAGAUGGGAUCACCAAAACAUCUUAGUCCAAGAACCUAAAAAUGGGAAAACAGCAAUCAACAAUCUCAACAGCAAAGGUGCAUCAUUGUUACUUUCUUUCAUACUCAACUUGCCCUCCUCCUUUGAUGUCCUUUUUGAGCCAUUUUCCAUUGUUGGCAUUUUCAUUGAUCCCUUUCCAUCUAGCUCAUCCCAUCCACCAAAGUUGGUUGCAGCAUUGCCACCCUCAUUGGGAGAACCAUCAUCACUAACUAUCCAUGAUUGAUAAUCCCUUCUUCCCUUUCUGCUUUUUUGGCCUUCUUGUACCUCUUCCUCCAUUUUAACAUUUUUUACAGUGCGCCGAGAUGUAUUUUUUGGUUUUUUUCUUACCCUGACCUUACGCUUCUGCUUGUUUUGUGACCUUCCCAAAAACCUUUCAAGUGCCAAAGUUAUUGCUGACUGCCCAAGUGGAAGUGCUAAUGCCAUGAGGAAAGCUUUUGGGCCAGUGGCAAACAAGAAGGAAAGUAAAAUGACUGGUAGCGUCCAACCAAAGGAUUUGAAAACCUGCAUUGACCAAUUGCAAAAGUAUUGGGAUCAACAGAAUGCAUUUUUUAUGGGAAAAAAAAAGAAAUUAACAUUUGAUAAAAUAACAUUGAGGGGAACAAACUGUAGGACAUGAUCCAAUCGAGAAAAUUCAAUUAUUUAGCAACAGUUCAUUUAAAACAACAUUCCUAUAUAGAGCAAAAUUCAGUACUAAGGCAUAAGGAGAUGCCUAUGGUUUGAAUGAUGGUUAUGAAAGAGGCAAAUGCCGAAUGGUACGUCCAAAGUGAAAAAUCCUGUGUUGUGGUCUGUGGAAGCUAACGCUAUUUCUCACCAUAAUCAGCAAAUAUGUGAUCUGCAAAGAGUUCAAACAGUUUGUUGAUGCCCAUGUAAACUCAACUAAAGCUGUCAUGCAGUUUUUCUGGUACUAAAACUAGUUAACUUGCAUGAGCUGCCAAUCAAACCCCUCAUUGCGAAGGACAAUAUAAAAGAUUUCCCAACAUUGUCAGCGGAAUAAUUGCCGGAUAUUAGGAGUCUUGAGAUGGGAUUCCUAUAUUCCUAUGGAGUGUCAGUCCCAUGCAAAAGAUUCUUAGUAUCACAUAAUUUACAGCUGCAUAUGUGAGCCUGCAACUAAGAUUUGAAGCAAGAGGCAAGUCCCUUAAAUUUUAAAAUUUGCAACAGAAGCAAAUCCUAUUAAACUACCCAAUAGAUCCAAGAAUAAAGUUGAUUUCAAAUCAAAGUUCUUCAUUUUACUACUUGUUCAAGAGGAAGCAAAUCCUAUUAAACUAACCGAAUAAAUCCAAGAAUUAAGUUGUUCAAAAGGACCCAUAGUUUUUGCAAAAUUAUUGAUGUAUGAAGCUAAUUCAUUUAUAAAAAGAAAUGCAUCAAAUUUAAUCCAUUUUAAUGCAUGAAAUUCAUUUACAUCAAUCCCAUUUGGUAUUCAAAAUUCUACCUUUAAGAAUGUAUCCAAAUUUUAAAAAAAAAAAAAAAGGGAAAGGAAAGAAAAGAUUGUACCUUCAAAAUCCAAAUGCUAUCAAUUGCUUCGUCCAAAAUCCCGGAAUUUGCCAUUUCUUCAUAAUAAUCAUCUCUUUCUUCGUCGUCGCCAUCGUUUUGGGUGUUGAAGCUGAAGCCUUUGGCACGAAUAUUCUCAGCAUUAGGGUCCCACUUGCUUCUUCUCCUUCUACUGCUGCUGCUGCUAUCUCUGGCUGCACAUGAGCUGAAACGACGGCGUAAAUGAGAGUAAGAGAGAGGGCAAAGUGGCAAAUGAAUGAAAUUAUGGAGGUGGGAUUUAUGGGUGAAGAAGAUGAAGGAAGAACAAGGGCAUGGUUGAGCUGCUGCCAUUUCCAUUUCCGCUUCUCUGCUCCCCAUAUUUCUCGAUCUCUACCACUUUGCCACGUUCUUAUUUUCUUGUCCAUUGAAAAACCGUUGAUGAUAAAAUAACCAAGAAUCUCACGACGUCGUUGCAGGAAUAGAAAGUUUUCCCGAUUAAAUUGGAAAACGCUGCGUUCCGUGAAAGGAUUUUGGUUUAAAAUUUUAAGCAUCUGAAGCGACACCGUUCAUAGAAAACAUUUCUCUAUAUAAGCUCAGCGUUAAAUUCACGCAAACUUAAAAAGAAAUCCCUAGAAGCUGAAGAGGAAGAUGAGGCCAACGCCGAUGGAAUUCAUGGUGGACCCAGAUGAUCAAGGCUCAGCCAUGGAAGUCGACGACGUUGACCCACUCGAGAUGUUCGGCGAAGGCGGCAUCUCCAUCGACAACAAGCUCGCCGACGCCGAUUUCUUCAACAACUUCGAAGACGAUUUCGAUGACUCCGACAUCAACUAAACGCCUCAACCCAAAGUUCUCAUCUUUUUCUCUCUUACCUUUCUAGGGUUUCAUCUUUUUUCUUAAGAAAAAUCCUAAUGCUUGUCCGAUUCAGUCGAAUUUGAACUGCUUUAUGGCUUAUCUCAUCUGCAAAUUAUAUUAUUGAAGUUUUUGAACGUUUAGC
Molecule: long non-coding RNA, 52262 nt
Filed under: Durio zibethinus
Lineage: Eukaryota; Viridiplantae; Streptophyta; Magnoliopsida; Malvales; Malvaceae
Description: long non-coding RNA (DZIB_LNC000216)
Source: RNAcentral